AAUGAACAUCAUAAUGAUUCUUGAAUUCGAGUUAAUGAGUUAAUUAUUCUUUUCUUUUUUCUUGACUUUUGUGCCAUAAGACAGGUCCGAAGGACAGACAGGCGCAUUGAAUAGAUUAUGCUGAAGGAGGCUGAAUGCAAGAUUCGUUCUUCUUAUUUGCAAAAAGAAAGGUCCAGAUGACUGAUUUUUAUCCAAAAACAAAGGCGCAAUGAAAUAUGCCUUGAAUUGCCCAGCAAAGAAUAUUGCAAAAAGGACCACUAAAAACCGAUGUCAUUGACCCCCAUAUUAAGCUACGAAGGCCCAAAGAAUAUUGCGAGGCGAAGGUGCCAUAAGACAGGGAUAUUCUUGAUCAUGACCAAGAGAAUCUCCAGCUCUUGUCCCAGUAGCGGGCGACUUAGAAAGAGAAUAUGAGUCCACAGGUGGCACCUCCGCUUAGCCCGAUCCCCUCGUUUAAGGCGAUGGAGAAGAAUCAUGAUCCGAAUUGAAAGAGGUGAUUCCAGUGGUAUGAAAUAGGAAAUUGCCUUCUUUUAGAUCCACAGCGCCAUCUGGUAGAUUAGCUCAAUCCCUUGAAGUAGGGGCAUACCGCUACGUGGGGGUCCCAGAAUCCGGAUCAGUGUGAAUAAGGUUCUAUUUGUUGAGGUCCUCUGCGCAUACCCACUCCUAGGUGUGGAGGAUCGGUAUGCAUAUGCUCCAUGGUUCAUAAGUCUUGCAAAUACUAGCCUAUAUUCGCCCUAAACUUAGAUAGAAUUCCUCUUUGACCUCACCAAUGGCCUUGGCCUUCCUUCCCCGUCAUCCGAUGCGCCUGUUCUUGGGAUAGUUUGUCCCGCUACGUGGGUUUUGGGAAUUUAUCCGAUGACUGAUCAGCCAAGGGCUAGCGCUCCGUGGGAGUAGAGCAUUUCCGCCUCCGCGACUGCUCCUGGGACGAUUGAUUCCUUUUCAGCUGCCACCGCAACCCCCACGGAUUCCCCCGAUCCGACCCCUCCUCUAUCGUUUUUUAGUGGAAUAAGACUCCUUUCGCAAAUUCUUUGCGCCUAAGAAUAUUGCGGAAAUAUGCAUAGGUGAAAAGAAGAAGAAUAUUGACGAAAAGAAAAUUCGCUCAUUAACGCAAAGAUGCACAAAUGUCUAAUCUUUCAGACUCCGUAGGACCUACAAUUCUUUCUGCUCCACAUAUUAAGCUGCGACUAAGGGCGUCCUCUCCCCCUAUCGUGAGCCGCUUUCGCUCGUCUUGAGCCCGUAGUUAGGCGCAAAGAAAGAAAGCUAGGCGCAAAGUUCUAAUGGAUAGUCCGGAGGACGGAGGACGGAGGACGGAGGCGCAAUUCAAUAUGCGAAGGCGCAAUUCAAUAUGCCUUGAAUGAAUGAGAGGCGCAAAGAAUAUUGCGAAGGAGCAAAGAAUAUUGCGAGACGGGUCAAAGGUUCCUUAUCAAUUGAUUAGGUUCCCAAAAACAAAGGGCUAGAUGCGUCCUUCGGACGGAGCUCGAACCCUUCCGCGGGUGGUGCUCUGACCAAUUGAAAAGGAAUCCCAGUGUACAAGAUCUUGAUUUCAUUUCCUUUCAAACCUUUCUAUGUAGAUUUUUGAUGAUCAUUCUCAUAUUCUACCAGAUAGUAAUAGAGUAAUAGAUUGAUAUGCGCGGAGACAUCACAUCUACUUUAGUGUGAGAAGGAUGGAUUAAUAGUCAUUGAUUGAUAAUGAAUCAAGAGUUUUCUUUUAUUCUUUCAUAUCAAGUCAAGCAUUUCUCUAUCUGGCCAAGGCCUUGAGUAGUUAGUGCUCUUUCUAACUUCAAGCUAGAACUUGAAUAUCGACUUCCCAGAGUAGAGCGCGAUUGUAGAGGGAGCCGGAGUUAGUAAUUGCUACAAGAAAAGAGAUUAUGAACUUUUCAUUGAUUGCGCUCUUUAUUUCUUUUCAAAAAGUGGGCAGUCUAGUUCAAGGCAUAUUGAAUUGCGCCUUUCGCUUCUCUUUUAGAAUAGCUCAAUUCUUCUCAAAUUCUUUGAGCCUGGACCUUUCUUUUUGAGUCUCGCACAAGAUCCCUUUAUUUAUGGAUGUUCAUUGAGCCUUGUUCUUUCUCUUGAAGAAGUAGAAGUCGUCUGCUUCAGAGGAGACAAAAGAAAGGUGGAGGCGCAAAGAAUAUUGCGGAGCGGUGAGACCGAAGAGGAAGACUUCUCAAAAUCUCCUUUCAUAUCAAGUCUUUAUUAUAUUAGUAGGGGCGCAGUGGUAAGGCCGCUAUAAGAGGAGGUUCGAAUCCUUCCGUCCCAGUAAGUCAGACCGUUGCAGACUCCUCGGCAUGAGGAGUUAGUUGACCCCGAGUAGGAUUAGGAGCCGCUUUUUCCCGGUCAGAUCAAAUGGAUAGGCAAAUCCCUUGAAAAGGGAUCGAGAGAGUUCAGACUAUGCCAAUGGGUGAAAGGGGGCUAGGAUGGCUACCGACCCCACGGAGCGGGACUGACUUGGAAAGGUCUCUUCUCGCACUUAUCCAAGGACAACGUCCUCGCUCAAAGACUGAUUGCUUGUCUUCCUCGGGGGUGAAGUGAAAAAGAUCUAGUGCUUCCGAUUCGAUGAAUUUCUAUAGGUAAGAUAGAAGAAGAAAGGCAAGGCAUCAAAGUCAAGUCAGGUUCAAUCGACGUAACUGGUUCAAAUACCAGAAGCUAGGUUAUAGAAGAUAGAUUCGACAAUCAAAAGUAGGUCAGCCUUUUGCCGGGAUACGAGACUGUCAGCCUCAGCUAUAGCUUCUUCAAGAAUAUUGGAUUGGCAAGUCGGAGAGGUCUUAAUAGAAAGACCGUCAAAGAGCUGCUGAGUUGCCCACGUAGCGGGAAAGGGAAAGGUUAUCCAAUAAUAAACUACUCUGAGAACCUCUCACUCUACAACUCUCUUUCUUCUCCCAACUGGAACUAAGGCCCUAUCCUGUCCUGCCUGCCCUGUCCUCUGAAAUCCGUUACUUACGGAUGAGCUACUUUCUGCUGGAUGUUCCCCUUCGUAGUUAUUCGUGAUUAUUCAGGCAAAUCUUUCCUAUUUUUCUAAUGCAAGAGCUUUUUUCCUAUUCAACCUCAAUGUUAACCCUCUGACUUGCUGGUCGUCAAUAUUCUUUGAACCUUUUAUUUACAAUAGAGGCAUCAGUCUCAGUUUCCAAUCUUGCUAGUAGGACUAGGACUAAAAGGGGAAAGCUAUCACAAAGAGCAGCUCAACAGAUAGGGUAACUGAAAUCGGAAAGAUAGUAGCCUCAUCCGUUGUGGAAGAGGGAGCAUAAGAUCACAUAAAAAGAUAGGGAGGGGGCAAAGGAAGCAGCUCUUUCAUUCUCAGUUGCUACAUAAAAUAGGAUAAGUUCUCUCAAAUUCUUUGACCCCGUCUUCAAUCUACCAUUGAAUUUGAAUAAAGGUCCAGGUGACCUAGAAUAUCCCUGUCUUAUGGAGCCUCCUCCGGAUAUAAGGGGUCCUCGUCUUCAACAAGAUUUCCACCGCUGAUUUAUCAAGCUUAAUUGCGGGACUUCUUAAGGAAAUCUUUCUUACUCAUCUGGACAAAAGUAGGCGUUUUUGUCAGUCCGGAGCCUUUGUUUUUGGAGUCUUAUUCCGCAGGUCUUAAUGUUUCUGACUCACAUAUUAAGCUACGUAGGACGAGCAAACAAAAAGAAAGCGGAAAUCUGAGCAAUAUUCUUAGCGCCUUGAUCGCUAUCUUCUUUCAUGAUCUCUUGAGUAAGGCCUCUCGCCUGUCUUAACCUAAGCCCAUUAAGGAUAAGGAAGAGUCUAAGCCUACGGCUGGAUCGAAAGGAGUGAAGACAUAUCCCAGUUAAUUGAGUUCAAAGCCUUUAGCCUUUUCUUUGAGAUGACGAAGCUUUCCGAAGCUAAACUACUUCACAAGAAAAACUGAUCCUUCCCACUGCCUCUUUGUCCUACUCUCAUAAGAAAGGAUUGAUUCCAUUCCUUCUCGUUCAGCAUUUCGGAGUAUAAUGGGAAUAUGAGUAUAAGAUAUUGAUAAUCAGAGCUUUUCUGAAACUUAUGCUAUCUCUUGCUUCAUGGAGCAUUUCUUCGGGAACUGAUGAAAGAGAAAGGGAUGGUGGCUGGCCGAGCCUCGCGCGCCUCGUCCUCCUCGUGCGAGAUCUUUUCAAGGCACACCGGUCCAGUUGAGAUCGUACUGAUGACCCUGGAAGAGCUGCUUCCCAACCGACUCGACCCGAAGCUUGAAGCCAUGAGAUGACCUUACUCCUUUGAAUGCCUCCUUUUGAGUCCUCUAGGCACUCUUCUAUCUCCUUCUACGAAGUCGACUCAAUGAAUUCAGCCUUUCGAAUUUUGAAUACUCUUGAUAAAAAAAAGAGAAAAAGGGCAUUCUCCAUGAAUUCAGCCUUCUGACCUACCGCCCCCGUGGGAAAUAGAAGGGGAUAGACUAGCUUUCCAACUCUGUCUUAUCGUGAAAGAUCUGAUUCCUAUCAUCAUUUAUUGGAUUCGUCCAGUUCAACUGGGAAUACCGCUUGAUGUGAGAGAGCGAGAGCCACAGAAAAUCUGGAAGAGCAAGACCUAUUCUCCUGAGAAUUCCGAUUGAUCUUACACAGCUACUACUGAAAUUCCAGAACUGAUCUUUUCAUGUUAUGGGACUGUCAAUAUUCUUUGAACCUCUCCUGGUCUUGAUGACUAUGAGAAAAGAUUUCUAUGAAGAAACUGGGUGGGGCGUAAAGGGUUACCCAAAGGACUCAAUAUGGUCAGUCUAGCCAACGGAGAAAUUACCUUUUCUCAGAAGAUCGCCUGUAGGUCAAGCUGCUUUUCGUAAAACUAGGUCUGGGUGUGAGGCUUCUGGCAGCCACUCUCCUAUCCCUUAAUCACAAGGGGUAACGGAGAUCCGCAACGGGCUCGGGUCUCGCUUGGUGAACCCCAACUUCCCUACUUUUCAGUCAUUUACCUUCUUCAUUCCUCUUGUUAAGAGUUCAUCGGUUCGAAGGCUAAUAUAAGGAUAGGAGUUCUAGAAGGAGAGAGAAAAUGGACAAAACAAACCCACGUAGGGCAGACCUACGGCAAGGUUAUCAUAUGGACAGUCCUUCGGACUUCGGACGAGUCAAAUCAUGAAAUUACCUUUCUAUGUGCUAUGUGAAGUAGCAUCUCAUAAAUGGAAGGAAAAAACCCCUCCUUUUGAUAGGCUUUCUUCCUGAAAUUCAAGAUGAAGUACAACCUUCAGGCCAGGUUUUGAGGCUCCGAUAGGCUUUCCUUCUUUCAGUUUCUGGAGGUGCAAAGAAUAUUGCGAAGGCGCCAUAAGACAGGUCCUCCUUCCUUCCAUAUGGAUGGUCCUACUUCGGUUAAUUACGGAUGGUCCUACUUCGGUUAAUUACGGAUGGUCCUACGGAUAAAUCCUCCGGACUACUUCUAAUGGAUAGUCCUACGGAUAAAUCCUGCGGACUGCGGACUCCGGACUACUUCCUUCCAUAUGGAUGGUCCUACGGAUAAAUCCUCCGGACGUAGGAUAAAUCCUGCGGACUGCGGACUCCGGACGUAGGACCCUGGACCUUUCUUUGAUGGUCCUACGGAUAAAUCCUGCGGACUGCGGACGUAGGACGGGGGAGGUCCUUUAUGUCUUCUUUUUCUUCAUGAAAACUUUAUAUCCUCUUGAGCUUUCUUCUUUAUCUUCCAUUGCUCUUAUUCUACUCUAAAAUCAAGCUACAGAUGAGCGGAGCCAAGUUCGGACUGAUAUAAGCGGAGUCGUCUUCUUUGCGCUUGCACUCCUAUUCGCUUCGCUUCUUUCGCAAAUUCUUUGCGCCUAACGUCUGCUUUCAUUAUCGUUAAUGAGCACUUUCUAUUUCUUUCUCCCGUAGUUAGGAGUAUUAAGACCGGUCCGGAGGACUCAAGGAUUCCACUAAAUAUCGCCUCGCAAAUUCUUUGCGCCUUCGCAUAUUGAAUUGGGCCUCAGUCCUAUCCAUAUUAACCUGUCUGUCCUGAGGACGGGGGAUUUGAGGCGAAGGACUUGUUUAUCCAUUAGAAAAGGACCAUUUUCGACCGCUCCGCGUAAAAGAAAGCGGAAAUCUUCUUUGAACCUUUACAAGGUUCCCAUUAAAUUGAGGCGAAGGCGAAGGACUUGUUUAUAUCCUAAAAUCAAGGUCCAGGUGCAAAGAAUAUUGCGACCCUAUUUAUUGAGACCUUUUGACUUGUUUAUAGACAGAUCGAGCUACUAAAUCUGAGCGAGGAGAGUGAUUUCAUGCCUCAAGCGAAGGUUCUAAAGUGCUUGAAUGCGUAUCACGCUUUUUCCUGGUUCUAUUCACAAGUAAGAAGAAAUGGAUGAAAUAGCGGGAGAUUCUAUUACGUAAAUUAAGGUCGUAGAGUCAAUUCUGAGUUCUUGUCUCACUUUAAGGGAGAUGUUAUGGUAAUUUCAUGAAAGAUCUGAUUCAAGAGAUCAGGCUGCCAGCAACUGGGACUGAGGAUGAGGAUAGAGCCUCCUCAGCGACUGCUUAAACUUCCUCUUCCUUUGCUGUCGAAACUAAGACAAAGAGAUAGUCAAACCCAUUAUUUCUAAGAUUUCUUCCUCUCCCGCUACGUGGGCAACUGCUCAUUCAACCUAUCUUUCCGAAACUCCUUCCCCUGCGGCAACAGCCUUCCUCGUCCCGAUUCGUCUCCUUACAGCAUUCCUCUUCCUCUUCCUCUUCCUAUUUCUAUUCUCGUCGCAUAUUCCCUUCCAGGUGGUGGGGUUAUUUCAUUCCUCUUCGAGUCGAUCUACAGCAUUCCUCUGAAAAUCAGGAGGACGAGUCUUACAAUAUCCCUGUCUUAUGGAGCCUUCGCUCCUAAAUAAGUCGUAUCUGAGAAAGGGGUAGUAGAUUGAAUAAACUCUUUAGCUAGCUCCGUUCGGGAGAGGUGGGAAGCCGCAGUGUCUGUGAGUCUUGACUCAGACUGAGUUAUUAUUUCGUGGAAUCGGGACGAGGUGAACUAAGAUCGGUUCGGGUAAGACCUCACCCAGACUCUCUCAGUUGAAGCUGAAAUAGACUCAAGGGAACUGAAAAACCGCUACUCUUUCAUCAUCAUAAGAAGGAGAAAGAGAUCAAGGGCCUCACGAACAAUGAUUUGCGCGGAUCGGCUAUCAGGCCAGAAUCAGUCUUUUCUCGUCGUAGAGAAGGUUCCAUAAGACAGGGAUAUUGUAGUACAUUCUUGAGGUAAAUUCAGUCUCAGUCGCGGAGGGCAGCUAGGUAGGGGCACCCGCGAGAUCUUAAUCUGACCUUUGAGAGGAGGUUAUCAUAUCGAGACCACAUACUAAGAAAGAGAGGCUCUACCUUAUAUAUCUACUUAGAAAGAGCAGUUUCAUCCGUUGAAGAAGUGGCUGUCCUCGCUUUUCUUCUUCUUUCAGUAGCAGUGUCUGCCGUUGAAGAAUGAAGCAAAAAAAAAUAGGCGAAGAAGGUGAAAAGAAUAUUGACGCUAUUUCAUGAUUCUUGUACCCGUACCCCCAUGAAAAAAGUGAUUUGACCUCACACACAUUCAGACAAGAAGAAUCAGAGCUUUCUCAAAACUUCUCUUUCUAUUGUCUUUGAAGAAAGGAGAGAUCAGACUCCUUCUCCGGACUCCAAAGGAGGAGUGCAAGUGCAGGAAAACUACAACUUUGAAUGGACCGUACCUCUCUCAUUUGCUUAAGACAUGUGGAUUGUCGAAAUAAGCGCUACGUGGGCCGAUACCCGCUGACGAAGAAGGUUCUCUCUAAUUUGGAGAUUCGUCUCAUCUCAUUCCUCUGGGUCGAUCCUUUCCAUGCUAGGACGAGAACCAAAACAUCCUAUCUUAUACUUAGUUAUUAGAAUAAAGGUCUUGAAUGCGGGAUCCUUAAAGCGAAAGCGGCUCGACUGUAAGGAGAGGAGUUCUGCCAUUUCUUCAAUAAGUACUAGUUCCAGAAGCCAGGUAAGAGUGGCCGGUUAGAAGCUUGACCGAUUAGGGUCUGUUGCGGUUUCAGUGGGAGUUUCCUGUGUCGGAUGUCUGAGAUUAAGGCUGAAGGCCUGCUUUAUGUAUUUAUUUCCUCCCAACGUGGACCAUAUGUUAAAGGAUCGAAGGCAGCUUUCCCAUACUCCCAUAAAAGGAGCUCUUUCAAAAGGGAAAUAACGGGACUUUCUCAAGCGUCGAGGUUUCGGGGACGGUAGAAGUCUGUUGGGAUCUCGGUUAUGCAUUAGCAAAUUGGCUUUCCACUCUAGUAUUGAGAUCUUGAGUAAAUCAAUAUGGGCCUUAGAAUGAGAGAGAGAAUACCGCCUUGCUUCUGCGCCAGUGGGAGUGAUUGAUGAAUAUACGCAUGGGGAAUCAAGAGUUCUUUUCAGAUUCAUUAUAUAACCUUCUUUCUCGUUCCCAGAUUCAAGAGACUGCCGGAAGAAAGAAGAGUCCAAAGUCAGAUAAUCAGCCUACGCCAGAAGACGAUAGAGGAGGGGUAGGAUACUGAAACUCAAUCUCCUAUGCGACUCUUGUUUCAACCACUGAUCCUGGUGCAAGAGAAAGGGAUGGGACAACCUAAACAUAAGGAUACCUCCUUCGUCGGCCUCGUCUCGAUCCUGAGUUUGCAUGAUAAAGGGGUUCAACUGAAAUGGCUCCUUCUUUUUCUUACCUAGCAUCGGACAGCUAGAGAGGUAUGUCAAUCAAUCCCAUCUAAGAGAGAAGGAAGGCCGACGGCGGCCAUGGGAGAGUCACCUCUAUUAUCUCAUUUCUGCUGAUUGAGGGCUUCCCAACCGACCUAUGAGAUGAGGCUUUCGGCGUCUCAAGUUCUUAGUUCGAGAUGAUAGGGAAUCCUUGCUUUCAUUCUUUGAUUAUGAAGUUCAUAUACGAGAUUCAGAGAAUUCCUAAUCUGCCCCCUUUAAUGGAACAAGAGCGAGGACAUCUACAGCCACUGGUCGAACUAUUUCAUCCCUUUAUUCAUACCGAAGAACCUCUUAUUCAUUCAAGCCCCCCUACGCGUCUUAGUUCAUGAAAUAGGGUGGUAAACAGAUAAUGAAAGAGAAAUUCAAUCUUCUUUGAACCUCAUCAGAAAAGGUGGUCUUGCUUCUACAGCUACUUCAAGAGCUAGAACAAAAGCAAAGGGGCUAAAGAUGGAUUGAGUGGAAUUCCAAAUACGGCGGAGGACUCUGAAAUUUGAGUUUCAGGGCUAGCCCAUACGAUCACCAAUCGAUCGAUGACCAAUCGUUAAUAAAAUCUCGAAAAUAAAGAGAACUUGGAAGAAGGAAUUGGAACUAGAAGACGACUACUCGCGACUCCUCAAUUACUAAAGCCUAAGGAAUCGGGAAAGCCUUCUCCUUCACCCACUGAAAUAGGUCAAUCGAGAGGUCCGCCUCUUAGAAUGCGGCAACUGAGACUGAUCUAGAUCCCGAGAGUGGUCCUCUUCCUUUGUUGGGCGGGAGACUGAAAGUGAUAGCUUUCGAGUAGUCUUGGUCUUCCCUCCUUCCUUUUCUCUCUCUCUCCGCAAUAUUCUUUGCACCUGCGUAGUGGGCUCAAUUUCAUCCAGCCUCAAGAUCCUUCACUCAGUCUCAUGAAUAAUUUUGGAGUGGGUCUGGGGAGCUACUGGGUCCUCUCUUUUCCCGAUAGAGUGAACAUGCCGAUUAUAAUAGUGUGUACUUUUGACCCUGGUGAGACUCCCUUUUUUAUCUUUCUCAAGACUAUUAUUUCAGAGAAGAAAGAGAAGUCCUUAUUAAGCUGGUCCUCCUCCUUCAGCAUAAUAGAAUAGUAAAUAAAAGAAAAGAUGCGCAAAGAAGAAAAACAAGGGUGCAGAUAGGCUCGGCUUUCUAUUAAGGCGCAAAGAAGAAUAUUGCGAGAGCCUAACUACGCGGUCCGAAGGCUCCAUAAGACAGGGAUAUUGUAAGGGGCAGCUUUUUGAGAAGAAAGAAUGGCAUCCCCGGCUGCCAUUUUCACACCUUGCUCAAAGGUCACGCUUACACACUACGGGUGACGCAUGGCUGCAUCCGAAGGGAAGCCUCCUCGGCAGGGAAGUUGGGUUAUUGAGUAUAGUUUUGACAAUUAUAAUCUAGCGGGCAUAAAGCCGAGCUUAGGAUAAAUAAGGAGGUCGUACGGGAGGUAUGGUAGGUGUUGGGAAGUAGUGGACCCCAAUAACCCCAUGAUCUCUCAUGCGAAUCGACCUAUAUCCAUACCGCGGAAAAGAAGACUGGGAUUAUCCAAGCCAGGAAGGGGGCAGCGAAUAACUCAACCUUUUCUCUGCCUUUUCCCUUUAAGUUAAGUAUCGCAAGAAAAAUCUCAUCUCCGCUCCAAUUUCCUUAAGGAAAACCUCUCAUGCGUGCUCAUUCAUUACUGAAGGGAUGUACGUAUUUCUCUUUUCGCGCGCACUCAUUCAGAAGAAGGAAGUUAGUCUUUCCACUGGAUGAGAAGAGAAUAAAACCAAGAGUGGUAUUUUUCUUGUUUUCUUCUUUUCAGUGGGAGGAGCAGCAGGAGGAGAGACCGCCCUCGCCCCCGCAGGGGACGUUAGGCCCGGAAACUUCUUUUGUUGGCUGCUAGGUAGUGGGUUGGCUUUACUUGGGGGGCAGGGGGCCGGGACAGAUACUAAGGUCAUUGCCUUAUUAAGAGUACUGAUAUAAAGGGAGAGAUCAAGGAUACUGAUGGCAUUGCCAGAAGGACUGAUACUGGAGUCAUUGCCCUACAGAGCUAGGAGCUAGAGGAAAUCUCAAAAGCUUUUCUCCCUGCUAAGGAAACCGGACAAGAAAGAAAGAACCUAUUCGCCGCCAAAGCUACCUAUUCUCCGACAAAGAAGAAGAAGGAAAGGAAGAAAAAGAAGAAGACUAGCGAAGCGCAUUUAUCUGCAGGGGAGCGAGUCCUUCGGACGGAGUAAGAGGAAGAGGAAUCGUAUGAGUGUGCCUAUCGUCCUUUCCCACUACGCGGUAUCGGCCCUAGGCCGCCUAUCUUCCCCGUCCCUCCUAAGAAUAAUAAGGGGUAGUCAGAAGGGUGAAACCUGCCAAUCUCGGAGCUAACUCAAGGAAGAAGUACCGAGCUAGAAAGGCGGAAAGCAGAAAGUCGUAUUUUGUGUGCCACCUCCGUCUGUCGGUGCCUGUCGGAUUUGGAAUUGGAAAAGUUGAACUUCCAGAAUUGCUUUCUGCCCUAAAUCCUUCAAAGGUCAAGGGCAAUUUCCCGGAUCUCGCUCCCGAGCUACAGAGGCCUUCCUUCCGGCCUGAAGACUAAGAGGAAGAAUAUGGAAUGAAGGCUUUGCUUUCGCCUCUGGGGAGUCAGAAGAGGAAAGAACCAUACAUAGAGGGAACCUCCCUAAAUAUGAGCUUUUCUCCCUGCUAAAGCCGGAAACCGGACAACUCCGGUCGGAAGGAAGCAUACCAACUGGAAAUCUCAAAAGCCAGAUCUCGAGCCAGGCGUCCAAGUCUUUUCCCUCCGAUAGAGAUACGGAGACAGCUGAAAAAGGUCUUGGGCUAUUUCCCGGAUAAAGAAGGAAAAGGGAAAGCCGAUACCGAGCCAGUAUUAGUGCCUCUCUGCCUAUCUUCCCCGGCCCCUCUGGGGAGUCAGAAGAGGAAAGUAUUCGCCGCCAAAGCUACUUAUGAGCCGUCCUUCGGUGCAGACCAAGAAGACUAUUACAAAGAAGUCAAUGAACAAGUGAAGAGAAGAAGAAGCGACUAUAUAUAAGAGACCUACGGCAAGGAAUGAACGAGUCAAAAGGACUCCUACGGAUCGAUUUGCGCUCCCCCACACUCCGGAAGACUAGUCUUAUUCCUUGCUUUAGGUCAAGCGGAGCUUCGCAUACGUCCGUCGUCCUCUUUGCGCUCCCCAAAAAAUUAGGCGUCAUCUUCAUCCUUUCUUUGUCUCUUAUAUAAACCAAUUAAGCUUGGCUUCGCCUCGCAUAUUGAAUUUUUCCUUAACUGUGCGCCUACUUUAGAGCGAGUCUGAAAUCCAUAUUAAGAGCCAAACCUCUGCGGUCAGUCCUUCGGACCAGAUGACCAAAAAAAGGCUAUUGUUUAUAUACAUAUUCAAAUUUGAGGAGAGGUGAAAAGAGAGAAGCGAGAACUCACAGCUUAUAUAGGUGCUCACAGCUCGAAGGAUAGGGAGAGGUCUGAAUAUAGAGACCGACGGGAUCUCCGCCGCCUAAUAGCGGAAGACUCACCUUGUUCACUUUUCUUCUACAUUAACACAUUCUUUCUCUCCCACGUAGCGGUAUGAACGAGACCGAGUUUCCGGAGCUAGAGUCAGAGUCUGAGUCAGAAGUCUCAGUUGAAUAGGAAGAAGUACGAAAAGACUGAUUUGAAUAAUCGCCUCAUUCAUAUGGAUCAAAAUCAGUCAAAAGGUUCCGAACAUGAAUAUGGGGAUCGUUGGAAUAAGACUCGUCCUUCCGCGGUUCAUUCAUAUGGAUCAAAAUCAGUCCUUCGCCUAAUGAAUAUGGGGAUCUGGUCUAUAAAUUAAGCUGCUCCUCGCAAUAUUCUUUGCGCCUUCGGACCUGUCCUCCGGACUGUUCAAAGUCAAUCAAAGAAAAAAGAAAAGAAAAGAAGCUCAUUAACUCGAAUUAAAGAAGCUCAAAAUGGGAAUUCAAAAGAAAGAGGGAGAUUGAAGAUUAAUCUGCUAGAUUGAAGACGGAGGGAAAUACAUGAUUUUGCUAGGUUUUGCCCAUAGGGAAGUAGCAAGAAAUCAUGAAAAAUCCUUCUUUUUCACUCAAUUUUCGUUAAAUAUCAAUAUGAGAUUUAGUCCUAUUUAGAAGCAAAAAAGCCGGGAAAUAGCAACUGGUCCAUUAGAAAAAUCUAGGUCAAAGAAAUUCUCAGUUCUAGUUUGAGUUUAUGGUCCGGAGAAUUACGGGUCUAUUCUUGAUUUCACUCCAGGUUAUGGGUUAUUCAAUCAUAAUGAUUCUUUCAUUCUCGUUAAUGAGUUUCUGCCUUCUUGGUUCAUGAAUGCCUGGCUUUCUUCCUUCGUUCGCUGGGAAUGAGUUAUUCUAUUAUCAUUCUUUGCUUUCUUCGAUCUUUUUUCUUUUUCUAAUGCAUUUCAUUCUAUGUAUUUGAGUACGAAAGCCAGAUAAAGCGCGGAGAUUUGAAGAUUGAUAAUAGUCUUUGAAAGAAUCAAAAAGGCUUGCGAAGACAAGAUCAAGGAAUCCAUACCGCUCCGUGGGAAGAUCAGAAUCGGCAGCUCGAUCUAUUUCAUUCUCAGUUUCGGGAAUCAAUCACUCGAAGCGGGGAAGAAAGCCAAAGGCCUCGUCUUUUCUUUACAUAUUGAAUUUCCCAUCCACACGCCACGUAGCUAUCUCGCUCUUUCUUAGUGGACGAUUUACUUGAAUACGCGGAAUCAAUAUGGGGAUGAUGUUGGCUCAAGGGAAUAUAAGAAAAAUAUACCUUUCCGUAAGAAGAUCAAGAAAAAAAAAGGGGGUGAGAUAGGCGAGACUGGGAGAGAGGAGAGGGAAAAGAAAGAUACCAGACAGGGGCCUGCUCUGCCGAGCCAAUUAACUUAACCUCCCUCGUCGGAUGCAUCCGAAUGCACGAGGAACCUAAUACCAGAGAAAUCGGUAUGGAUUUCUUUCUCUAUUGAAAGGGAGAAAACUCCUAGAAGAUCCAGUCCGGAGGAUUUAUCCGUAGGACUCUAAAACGGAGGACUAUCCAUUAUCAGGGCUUGCUUUGCGCCUCAUCUGGAGCUUUAUUCUUCAACCGCUACGUGGGCUGAGACUUCCAAUUCAAUACCGCUACGUGGGUAUGAGCUACUUUGGGAAAGGAUAACCUUUACAGGAAAGAUUCAGUCAUUCAAGAUCUCACCCCCCGAGACCGGUCGAGCUGCGGAUACUCUAUGUCGAUAGCAGCUAGUCCUACCUCUUUUCUCAAUUCACACAAUUCCUUAUUAACUCAAGACCGAUCGACUCCUAGGCUUUCUCUCUUCUUCUUCAUUCACUUAUCCUAAUCUCUAGGAGUCUUCAACGAGGGCUGAACUUCCUAUGCGAUCUGAUGAAAGGGCAAAGAGCAAGUCAAUAUUCUUGAGAUAAUUCUUGACAAUAUCCCUGAUCAAUGAAUUCAGCCUUAUUUCGCAAUAUGCGCCUCUCCUUCUUAUUAGAAGGUCUUUCUUGCGCUCCUUCUCCUUUCCAGUAGAGCUGAUCCUCGUAAGUUGAUACUGAUUAGAGGUCUCACAGCCCACUCCGCGGUCAAGCUGCAUCCUAAGAAAAGGACUAAUUGGCACUGACGGCUUUCUUUCUUAUAAGCUGACUUCUUGGGAUCGCUUACAGAAAUCCUAUCCUUUCCGGCAUUUCAUCUGCUUCAAACCUGGACGAUCUUCACUCCUCUUGGUCGAGGGCCUCAUCCUUCUCGUGAACUCAGUAAAGAUGAAUAAUAGUCUGUCUCCUAUUCAGACCCGAUAUAGAAAAGAUGCCGAUGAUAAUAGUCUACUUUCGACCCAAGACUCCGAUCCGGAACUUCCGAGACUGAUGAGACUCCCACGGGGCACAAGAAGAAGAGAAGCUUGUAGUAGGUUACGAAUCCUACCUCUUAUGAGCAAGAUAGCGGAGUUAAUAUGGAUUUCUCAAUAUGAAAAGAGCCUUUCUUCUUUUCCGCAAUAUUCUUUGCUUCCCUGAUGGAUAGUCCUUCGGACCUGUCUUUAUCUGGACCUGAAACCAAACUAUAAGGGUUCACAUUGAAUUUCUUUGAGCAAUAUUCUUUGCGCCUAGGCUUGAUUCUUUCAUUGCUUAACACAUUCAUUCUGAGAUUUCUCUCAUAUUACAUUGAGCCUUAAGAGUCGCUUCGUAGAUUAUGCUGAAGGAGGAAAGAAUGAUUUCUUCUUUCUGAGAGUCCUUCGGACAUGCAUGCCCUAGGAAUGAAGCUGAACUUCGCAAAGACUCCAAAAUCCUCGCAAUAUUCUUUCUCAAAUUCUUUGAUCCUCCGUCCUCCGGACUAUCCGUAAUUAACCUAGAUUGGAGCCCUCCGUCCUUCGGACUAUGAAUCAUAUAUAUUUUGGACGACCGACGGAGCUUUCAGUUCCAUAAUACGACUAAGGCUAGGUUAAUAUGGAUAAUAAGUCAUCUGGUCCCUUGUUUUUGGUUCUUUGCACUGGGGGAGGGGUCAAAGAUUCUUAAGAAAUUGAUUAGACCAAGGUUCCCAUUAAAUUGAGGACGGUUUGAAUAGGUUGAAUAGUCCUUCGCCUAAUGAAUAUGGAUAAAGAAGUCCGGAGGACCUAACGGAGGCUCCAUAAGACAGGGAUAUUGUAGGCGGUCGAUGAAAAAGGACCACUAGACGAAUUUGAGAAGAAGAGGAUGAGGAAGCGCUUGCUCGACCGCGGAGUGGGAUCGAGAUGACGGGAUGUUUUGAAUGGGGUUCGGGCCGAAGCUAUCCCCCCCCUCUUUAGUGGGUUCGGAAGUCUCGGUUUCAUGAGUUUACGAAGCAGUCAAUGAACAAAGGCGGGAAGCGAAGCAGCUCUCCUGUAUAGUUGUCCGAGAAGCUAUCCAAGGAUUUCGAAUGAGAGGAAGCUAGACCCGGCCGAAUGGGACUCUGAUCGGAAGAAAGCUGCUCUUGAAUGAGAAGGAGAGAGCGGCCUUAACACAUGCAGUUCGGAACCCUUUCUGUAGCUAGAUCUCUUGAAUGAGAUGUCUUUCCCCGAAGCCUCAGAUCUUGGACGCCAGCAUGAAGAGCGAAGCGAGAACUCAUUUUCAGUGAGAUAAUAUCUAAGUAGCGGGAAUUGAAGAAGAUAAAUAAAGAUAAGUCUCUUCGUAUUCGAUCUAAACUCUUUCAUGAGAUCUUUCCCUAGAUCAGUGGGACUAGUCUCAAGCAAGAACUAUUCUCAAUAGGGGAGUCGCCGUCCGAAUGUGAUCUUUCAGGUUGGUCGGGUCCUAUUUCCCAGUUUGCAUGUAAAUGAGACAGGAUCCCUUUCUACCGUGAUUUGACUUUCAUGGUCUCGGGAUUUUUGCAUGAAAGAGUUCAAAGGAGUAAAUAGCGAUUGAGCGUAUCAAAAUCGAAGGCUCCAGUCCGGAGGACAGGUCCGAAGUCCUCGCAAUAUUCUUUGCUUUGAGCAAUAUUCUUUGCGCCUUCGGACGGGAUAUUCUUGGGAAUCUUGCGUUCGAAAGAUGCGACUAUUCUUUAUAUAUUGAUUAGUGCUUCGCUAGGCUUGAUUUCCUUUUGAGUCCUCCUUUUCGGAUGCUUUCCCCGUAUUUUCUCUCUCCCUUGAAUAAUUAGUAUGAGUCAGGAGAUCGGCCGAUCUCAUCAGAGGGACGAAAGGGCUCGACUGUAAGGAGAGGAGGUGCAGUUAUCAGUUUUCCGUUGAAGAAUUUCAGUCAGUGGCAGUAGUUAGCUGCAGCUCUUUCAGAAGUAGCCGUCUUGUUCUUGUCAGUUGAAGCUUUAGUCUAAGAAGAAAAAAGCUCUAUCCUCACCAGUUGCAGGCAGCUAUCUCUCCUUGUGUAAUUCAAGCCGAAUAUAGCGCGGUUCAUGCUAAUAACCGGGAUCAAUUGCAUGAUACGAUUUGAGGUCACAAAAAGAAAGGAAUAAAUUCAAUAAGAAGUGGGGCAUUUUCAAUCAAGGCGCUGGGCUGGGCUUUUGACUUCCUGGCAUUAGCAGCUAUCCAGAUAUUUCUGGUCGAACGUCCACCCCUAAUAGCCUGCUUCGGGUCUUUUCUUCCCCUGCUCCUCCCCCUCUGACUGAUACUGAGUUCUCAUUCCAAGUCUAACUCCAACUCAGCUGUGCAAGGUGCAAAGAAUAUUGCCGUGUGGACAUUAGUUAUUCUAUCAAUUCCAACCAUAACGAGUGAGGUAAUCCGACUUGAGGCUAGUCCCUUUCAGUUAUGAAUUCAAGACCGAAACCCUUGUCUAAAGCAAAUGUUAAUCCUUGUUCAUUGAUUUCUAACUUGGCUAUUGCCGAUAGGCUUUGAUUUUAUGCCUUUCCCCCGCUCCACUAAAUUACAUCUUAGAUUUGAACUGUUAGAAACUAUAUUUCUUGAUUUGACUGUCAAAAUGUCUAUCUCACCCCAACUAAAGGGAAUCAAUAUGCUCCUACCUCAGAUAAGAAGGCAGAGGCUGGGUCUGACUAAAUUGAGCAUUUUGCCUAAGAAAUUAGGGUUUUGUCUUCAAGGCCACUUCCCGGACUAGAGGAGGUGCCCGUUGGCAGCAAGGCUAUCAGCGGGUUCUGGUGCGGGGCGGUCUGUAGUAGAAUCUGAUGACCCAAGAAGGCUUCCUCACCAGUCGACUCCCCGAGAGAGAUGAAUGAGACUUGGCCGGUAUCGCUUCCUACUCACGAGAAUUCCUUACCUCGCCUAUUUUUUGGAAUCUUUGAGACCGAGAAUAAUAGUACUUUCUUUUUGGGGAACUGAAAAUAAGGUGGACUUCUUUAUAUCCAUAUUAACUUCUUUCUGACCUAUGGCUGACUAUCCACUUAACCUCUCCUUGCUCAUAAUUGCUUUUCACUGUGAUGAACGAAGGGAAUUACUCUUUUCUAUGAGAAUUCUAUGCUAGUUCUAAGAGGGAAAGAAGCUGGAACUGGUCGAUCUUUCUAUUAUAAGGGGUCCAGAUGCGCAAUGAAAUAUGCGGGGAGGCGCAUAUUGCGGCGGGAAGAAUAUCCUUAGCUGCCGUGAGUUGCGUGAGUUGCCCCACGUAGCGGUGCCAUAAGACAGGUCCGAAGGACUAUCCAUUAGGGAAUGAGAGGACGGAGUCUGACUAAAAAAGAGAUUUUCCCAGGGAGAAUGGACAAUUCAGUAACUUCCUCGGACUCGUCGUCCUCCUUCCCCUCUCUUCUAGCUAGGUACGUGUUAGACCUCCAUUCCUAUGGAAGAUGGAACUCUUGAUGACGCAGCUGACUCUCGGUAAAGCUAUGAUAGCUACCCUUCCACUCGAUUAGACGCCGCCUCAAGGUAAAGACACUUCCUAACCGCUCCGUGGGCUAGAAGGUGGAGUUCCGGAUCCGUGUGAAUAACGAAAUUCAGAUGAUCACUCUUUUCCUGAAUGAAAUGAACUCGCUUGAGGAAUGAGAGGAAGAGCUCUUCAAGGUUCAUUCCUGAAACCCAAAGCAAAAAAAGAAGUCAAUGCCCACGUAGCGGGACAAGAGACUGAGUUGGAAGCGCUAACUAUACAAAAGUAGGGCCUAGGCAUCAAGGGAAGUAUCAGAAAAGGCUGAUGUUCAAGCUCUUUCCGAGGAGCAACCUCAAUAGUCAUCUGUCCCGGAAGAAAGGGCGCGAAGCUCUAAGAACCCUCACUUAGAAGUCGUGCAAAAAAAAGAAGACCAUAAAAAAAAAAGAAAAGAAAAUUGAGUGAUGAGGGCUGAAAAAUGGCUGAAAAGAGGUUCCCACUUCCAUCCACCUUCUUCAAAUCCCUUUCUGAGAAGUGAGCCCUCCAUUUUAGUCCGUAAUAUUCUAGUCCAUAAAUCAAAUCUCCUAGGCUUUCCAUUCCACUGAAAGCGAAAACCGGAAAUUCAAGGAAUGAACCUUCGUCGAAUAAUCAGCCAGAAGAGGUUCCUUCUACGCGGUCAAACCGCUGGUCAGACAGAAGACAGGAAAUUUUCCGUCUUUAGUCAGAGGUCUCGGGACAAGCCCAAGCGGGGUCCAGCAGUCCUUGUUUUUCUUCUUUCUUCAUUCUGGUAGUAGUCACACUGAAAUCCUUGGAUCGAUCGUCCGCUGUACCCCUUUUUCUUUCGUUGUGGCGCAAAGCCAUUAUUAUUCAAAGACGGAUGAUUCAGAUUCUAAUAGGAUGAAGAAAUCCGUCAAUGAAGAGUUCUGGGACAAACUAUCCCACCAGCAUGCAUCAUCGGAUCUCUCAGGAGACAUAUAGGGAGGUGCAAAGAAUAUUGCGGCCGCUACGCUGAAAAAGGGAAAAAGAAAGGCUCAAAGAAGAAGGUUAAUAUGGAUAGUCCUUCUCGGACGGGGGAUUUGAGGCCCUUCUAAUGGAUAGUCCUACUUCCUUCCAUAUGGAUGGUCCUACGGAUACUCCGGACUGGAAAGGAGUGCAAAAGAAAGGCUGGGGAUCCCACGGAGCGGUUGCAUCUUGGAGCAGCUGUAGUUGAGAAAUUAAUCAGAAGAUGCUGAGUUGACUCUGUCAGGAGUACCUACUAUCAUGGGGAGUGGAAAGGCCAAGGAAUUUCGUGAGAACAUAAGAGAAGAAAGUUCAGUCAGGAAAGCCUACCAUAAGAAAACCUAUAGGGAGAAAUAAGGCAAAGGAUGAAAGGUUUGAAAGUCAUAAGAGGCUGAAUUCAAUUUUCGAGUUCCAUGAAGGGGGUGAUGAGACUUGUUUUUAGACAAAGACAAAGUACUAUAUAUAGGAAUGAAGCUGAACCUUCGCAAAGAUAAUUCUUUGAGCGUCGGACUGAUUUAUCAAGCUUAAUCUUCAUCUUUUUAUUCAAAAAAAGAAAGAAAUUCAGAAGUCAUAGGGGACGGAGCGGGAUUCCUCCCCUAUCUUUUAUGGCGGUCCAAAAUAUAUGCCGCAAGAAAUUGAAAUUCCAUAAAUCAGUCCGCCUUUUUUGAUUUUACAAGGGGGCUUUCUUUCUUUAGUGGGCCCUUGUUCAUUGAUUGCGCUCUUCUGAACUUAUAUAAAGUCGCUUCGCUUCGUCAAUAUUCUUUGAACCUAUUAGCCUUUUAGGUUAGGAAUGAUAGUCUUUUCUUUUCUUUUUUCUGGUAUGCCGCUCCCUGGGAAGAAGAAGGCACGAGCUCCGCGAAAACAAAAGGGGGGAAUUCUCAUUUCUUGUCUAUUGAAUAUAGAUGUCUUUCUUGUUCCACUAGCUAGGACCAAAUUCGAAGAUGUCUCUUUCCUUAUUACAACCUUCAUUUUUGAUGUCAAAGACCAGAAGCUAUGCGCAAAUUCUCAUUGGAUCUCGGUUGUUCUUAACAGCGAUGGCUAUUCAUUUAAGUCUUCGGGUAGCACCACUAGAUCUUCAACAAGGUGGAAAUUCUCGUAUUCUGUAUGUACAUGUUCCUGCGGCUCGGAUGAGUAUUCUUGUUUAUAUCGCUACGGCUAUCAACACUUUCUUGUUCCUAUUAACAAAACAUCCCCUUUUUCUUCGCUCUUCCGGAACCGGUACAGAAAUGGGUGCUUUUUUUACCUUGUUUACUUUAGUGACUGGGGGGUUUCGGGGAAGACCUAUGUGGGGCACCUUUUGGGUGUGGGAUGCUCGUUUAACCUCUGUAUUCAUCUCGUUCCUUAUUUACCUGGGUGCACUGCGUUUUCAAAAGCUUCCUGUCGAACCGGCUUCUAUUUCAAUCCGUCUUGGACCGAUCGAUAUACCAAUAAUCAAGUUUUCAGUCAACUGGUGGAAUACAUCGCAUCAACCUGGGAGCAUUAGCGGAUCUGGUACAUCAAUACAUGUUCCUAUGCCCAUUCCAAUCUUGUCUAACUUUGCUAACUUCCCCUUAGCAACCCGUAUCUUCUUCGUUUUGGAAACACGUCUUCCUAUUCCAUUUUUUCCCGAAUCUCCUUUAACGGAAGAAAUCUCUGCUUUUUAUGCUAAAAUGACAGUCAGAAAAUCAAAGCUCCAGAUGAGUUGAAGUUCAUUGAGGCGGUAUUGGUAAAGAAAGUGACGUCCUCAAUCCGUCAAUCCAAUCAAUAAGGCUUCCCCUCUUUUAUGAAAGAUAGCUUGUCUUCCAUUCUGGGGGGGCGAAUACCUUGCUUCUAAGUCACAGAAUUUCUUGAAAGAUAUGCUACUUCCCGCUCUUCUCUCUCUCAUCUGUCAACAGGUAUCGGUCGCAUCUGGUCAAUCAGUACACACGAUAUCUGUCUCUAAAUAAAGAGAGAUCCUUUUCGUUAUGAGUAGUAUUCUUUCUCAUAAAGGAAAAGACAGACUAUAUCUGGGCUAGCUCGACUCCACCCCUACCAGGGCCUGAGCCCUUUUUGUGGAGGCUCAAAGAAUUCUCGUUUAAGACUCUGAAAUCAAAAAGAGUCUUAACAGACAACAGGUAUCAAAACAAGAAGAAAUAAGCGGAAAGCAGAAAGAAAUCUUAAGGAAGAAGAAAGAGAGGGAUAGGCUUUCUCCCAAGAACAUCGAUCAGUCUGAGAGGAAGAAUGUCCAAAUAAAGAUCAAGCCUAGUUCAAUAUUCUUUGAACCUACUAAACUAAAAGGUGAAAGUCAGAGGACAAUGAAAUAUUCUUUUCACCUUCUACGUUCUCCAGAACCUACUAGUAAGUGAAAGGAAGAAUUGAUUUGAGUUCCAUUAAGAUCAACUCAUCUGUCGCUCGCAAAUUCUUUGCGCCUUGCACCCUUGUUUUUGAGGGAGAAAACGAGUCAAGAGGAGCGGAGGGGGCGGUUUUCAUUUCUUUUCAUCAAAAUCAGACAAGAAAGAAGUCAGAAAGCUCCUAACCUCUUCUUUAUGGGGAGCCGUAGGUUCAAAGAAUAUUUCAUUCUUCAUUGAGGCCUUCUCCGUCCUCCUCCGCCUUCUACGUCCUACUACGCCGAGAAAUAUUCUAAGACGUUAAAGAAAGGCGCAAAGUUCGGUUAAUUACGGAAAGUCCGGAGGACUACUUCGGUUAAUUACGGAUGGUCCUACUUCGGUUAAUUACGGAUGGUCCUACGGAUAAAUCCUCCGGACUACUUCCAUAUGGAUAGUCCUCCGGAUAAAUCCUGCGGACUGCGGACUCCGGACUACUUCCAUAUGGAUAGUCCUCCUUCUAAUGGAUAGUCCUACGGAUAAGAAUCCUCCGGACUGCGGACUCCGGACUCCGGACGUAGGAUAAAUCCUGCGGACUCCGGACUCCGGACGUAGGAUAAAUCCUGCGGACUGCGGACUCCGGACAGGUGACGGGGGUUUUGUUGAGUUUACCUUACGUGUUUUGGACAGACAAAAUAACGAAAAUUGUGAAAGUUGAAGAAGGAUAGAACUCCGAAGGACUCUGUCAUUAAUGGUCCAAGUGUCUUUCAUUCAGUUUCCCUUUUUUUUCGGUAUACUAAGGGGCGGUUCCCUUCCCCUUUUCCCAAUAUUCUAAUUAAUGUAUCAUGAUAGGAAGAACCAUGUAUUUACUUUCUAAAGAGGAAAAUAGUUCCCCUUCGACGAAUACGAAUUAUGGAACUAAUUUGAGAAAAUAUCUGAUUUUGACUCCCGACAAGGUGAAAAGAAUAUUGAAAGUCAGACAAGAGAGAAUUUCCCAAAGACUGCAGGGUCUUUUUAAGUGUUCCGCUAUUGUAAUUGCCAAGGAAAAAGACCAAGAUAAUGCGAACCAUUUGAAUGCAGCCGUAUUGAAUGAGAAUGCCACUCGGUAUAAUGCCGCAAAGCUCAUUAGACAAGCAUUCCCAGAAUGGGAAGGGAUGCUGGGUCGCCUUGAAUAAGGCGUGGGGAUCCCUCUGUAACUAUGUCACGAAGGAGGACAAGAAUCCCUACGUCUGGGGGAAGUUCUCACUCCAACAAGUAAUGUGCGAGGCCCAGGCUUUUACAAAAAAGAGGGCUCUUUGAAAUAGUAGUAUAAAGCAGCCGCCCAUGAAAGUGGAUGCCCUCCUUCAGAGGAGAGGCUCCGAAAGCAUGAGAACAGGCUCGAUGUCCAAAACGAUCCACAGCUGCACAGGCCCCUAUGGACAAAAUAGAAUGUGUUACGCCAGCUAUAGCUAUGGGAGGACGUGCAGAACAAGAAGGCCCGAGAAAGAACUCUCAUGGAGGGAAUUGCACCUUAUCUCUGGGAGCCCGGAUGGGCCCAAGAGUACCAAGAGUACGAGCCGGAAGACUUGGGCGAGAAAGAUUUUCUACUCGACUGGGUGGCAAUCAACCGCUCCGUGGGCGCCCGAAGGCCCCUAAAGACGAGGCAACUUUGAAUUUACGGGGAAUGAGUAGAAAGAAAACCUUUUGAAUAACUAUACUUUCACAAGUGAGAAGGGUCUAGACCAGAAAGGAAAAACGACUAAAAAGGUGCUAACGACUUCUUUGACCUUUGGGUCCUUGACGAGUUUCAAGACCCUAGUCAUAGUCGACAACACGGCACUCCGGACGGGUCCAGGUGACUCAGAAAAUUCCACUAAAAGCCUAACCAUCUACUCAAAUUCUUAGAUGGACAAAAAUGUAGGCUCGACGCUAAAUAUGAUAGGGUCUUUCUCAAGAAGAGAAAGGUACCUAUUAUUCUAAUUGGAAAUGAGCUCCCCUUUCUUUUUCAAUGAAAAGGACGGGCCCGUGGUCGGAAAGGAUUUUUCCCUUAAGGUUCUUCUCUCACCUAAAAGAUCUAGUGGAAGAAAGAGUCAUCGCCACGGAAAUGUAUAGAAAGAAGAGCGGGGAUCCUGGAUUCCAUGGGACAUCCACCCAUUGAUAACAACUUUCUCCAAGUAAAUUCAUUCUAUCUUCCGGAAGAAGAAGAAUGCUUCGACUCUUGGAAUUUGUCAAAUUUUCAUCGAAAAGAAUUCGUCUAUCCUCCAUUCGGAGAGAGAAAGAGGGAAACCCUUUAUCUCCAGAUUUCCGAGGAGAACUUGCAAAAGUCUCGAAUGAACCUCCUGAACCUUGCCCGUCUGCCUCUAUGCAAAAGGAAAGAAAAGCAGGGAAAGUGGAAAACCAGGUACAAUAAAAGGGAAUCCCUCGUUCUUUCAGAAAAAGCAGUAGCUUUACUUGAGGAUGAAAUGCUCUUUCCAAUCCUAAGAGGAAGUUGAAGAACUAGCUUUUGAGUUCUGAAAUCGGGUAGGGGACUACUUUCCCCAAUGAGCUACCCAAGGAAAAAAGGCUGAAUGAAUUGAGUUUCUGAAUUAAGCUACCCCCUCCGUUUUAGAGUCCUUCCUUCCAUAUGGAUGGUCCUACUUCGGUUAAUUACGGAUGGUCCUACGGAUAAAUCACCUGGACCUUUCUUUGAUGGUGCAAAGAUCUAUGGAUAAGGCGCAAAGCAAAGGAUAUUGCGAGACAGGUCCUCAGUCCUAUCCAUAUUAACCUGCGACUGAGGACGGGAUAUUCUUGGGGAUUUGAUGAGAGUAUGAAUCAUAUUAUUUUGGAGGGGGACCACUCCUCAAAUUCAAAGAGCCUUGCCUCCGGUUGUAAUAGUCUUGUAAAUCAUCAAAACCUCCGGGGAGCGCAAGAAAGGAAAAACGAGACCUUUAAUUUCAUAUCUGAGGAAAGGUCAUCCUUGCACUCCUUCCCAGUCGCUUCGCUUCGCGCCUUCUACGCAGUGGAAUCUGUCUCAGUUUCAGUUGCUAAAGUCACUUUUGGUUGAGGAUUCAAUGCUCGACCAGAAGUUUCACUGGUUUACAAAGAUGUGUAAAUUAACUAGAAAUCGCCUAUAGGCGGAAAGAAAAGGCCCAAAAUGGGUUCCAAAUGGAUGAUUCACGAGGGAAAUGCACAUUUGUAAGGUUUCCGCCUAUGCGGAAUGAAAGAAAAGACUCAAAAUCCCGACCUUGGAAGGUUCGAAGAAUCAAUGAACUAUAAAGAAAGCACAAAUCCCCACUCCGCGGAGACCUACGGCAAGGUUAUCAUAUGGACAGUCCUUCGGACUUCGGACGGAAGCAAGUGGUGGAACCGCUACGUGGGAGACCCCAUUCGUGAGGUUUAAUCUCCAUUUUUCAUCUUUUGACCACUGGUCGUAUGAGUCCUUCGCCUUGGAUCUGGCGGGAGAGCCCAUGAUAGAUACCCGAUGAUCCCUAUAUUCAUGACAAAAACUAGGGAUGUUCCACUCAGCACCCUAAAGUUCCACUCUAGCUCCUUGUAAACAAUGAAGAAACCUCCUUUCCCGCAGAGUCAAGUGAUUUUGACUUGAGUAAGUCACUUCAAAACCGUGGGAAAACUGUCCAAAACCUCUGAUUUGACUCCGUAGGCAAGGCACCGGAGCGGCAAGGAAUCUCCUACUACGCCAUCCCAAUACUGUCUUUCCACUUUCAAGGGAUUCCUCCCGUAGGUCCGCCCCACCUCUCCUUGUUUCAGAGUCAGCGGAAUCGCAAUAUUCUUUGCACCUUUCAUUAUCUCUUUUUUAAUUCAUGAACGAUCGAUCCGAUCGAAAGCAAGAAAAAGAGAUCCCACUGGGGCGAUUGAUUCUUCAGAUGCCCCGAAAAUCAAGCUCCAGAUGAGUUGACGAGACCAUAGGAAGAGGGACCUAGUCGAAUGACUCUUUGUCUGGUAUGCUUCCGCAACCUCAUCAGAGGUAUCAACUUUUUCUGAUGACUGAACGGGUAGAACUGCGCGUGUCGAUCCAUGAGAUAGAGCGACGUCAGUCUUCCCUCCCACGGGAAAGAUCCAUGCGCCCUACUUCUUCCUCCGAUUCUGCUAAGCGUACUUCUUUCUUCUUUGAAAGGAGAUUCCGAGGUGAAAAGAAUAUUGAACCGCUACGUGGGCGUAAAAUCAAGCGGAAAUCUUCGAGCAAUAUUCUUUGCUUUUCUAGUGGACCUCGCAUAUUUCAUUGCGCCUUCUCUCCUUUCAGUCGAGCCCUCAGUCCUAUCCAUUAGACUGCACCUCGCAAUAUUCUUUGCGCCUGCGCCUGGACCUUUCUUUGACUAUCGUAGCAAGAGUAGCUGAAGGAUCAAUGAAAUUUGAUGAUUGAUGCCAUAAAGGAAAAGUCCAAGGAUUUAGUUAUCGAUGUUCUCGGAAGAAUAUUGCGGAGUGAAUUUAAGGAAGACGAAGUUCGAGCAAUCCGAACGGAAGAAAAGGUCAAUGGAAGUCCUGGAGCCUCCGGAGUGCUCCUUAUCUCUAUGGUACUAGUAAGAGAAAAGACCCGUCCUUUUUCUUUAUCAAGCUUAACCUUUGUAAUAGGUUGAAUAGUCAGCUGGUCCGAAGGCGCCAUAAGACAGGUCCGAAGGCGCAAUGAAAUAUGCGUUGAGAAUUUGAGAGAAAGAAAGAUUAGACUUUCCAGUUCUUCCCGCUCCGUGGGCCCUUCGUUAAUUACGGAAAGUCCUCCUUCCUUCCAUAUGGAUGGUCCUACUUCUGUUAAUUACGGAUGGUCCUACUUCGGUUAAUUACGGAUGGUCCUACGGAUAAAUCACCUGGACCUUUCUUUGGCCCUGCGGACGUAGGACUACUUCGGUUAAUUACGGAUGGUCCUACGGAUAAAUCACCUGGACCUUUCUUUGGCCCUGCGGACGUAGGACCCUGGACCUUUCUUUGGCACGUAGGACAGCUCAUUAACGAUAAUGAAAGAAGAAAAAAAUGGGAAUGAAAAAGAAAGAGGUGAAUAUGGGAGAUUUCAGACAUCGAUUUUAGUCUUUUUGACGGAGUGAAUUCCAUGAUUUUGCUAGGUUUUGCCCAUAGGAAGUAGCAAGAAAAGACAAAAAAUCAGUCAAAAUUGAUCUAUUUUCGUUAAAUAUCAAUAUGAGAAAAAGUCCUAUUUAGAAGCAAAAAAGCCGGGAAAACGCAAUGAAAGAAGAACUCCUAGGACAGGGAAAAGAAAUGAACAGAGUUUGAUUAUGGUUUCUGGUCCGGAGAAAUACGGGUCUAUUCUUUGAUCCUUCUAAUGGAUAGUCCUCCUUCCCUCCAUAUGGAUGGUCCUACGGAUAAAUCACCUGGACCUUUCUUUGGCCCUGCGGACUCCGGACCCUGGACCUUUCUUUGGCCCUGCGGACUCCGGACUACGGACUACGGACUUUCGGUAAUUAACCGAACUUUGCACAAGGCUUCCGCUUAAAUGUCUUUCGAAACUCAUAUAUAUCCUGGUGGGAGCUUCCUUUUCUCAUUCUCGAUUUGAAUUGGACUUUAGUAGGUCGAGCCACUAUUUUUCCUUGCUGGGGAUGAAACUGAAAGGGAUGAGUUUGCUCUUGGUCACCUCGUAGAUUAGCCGCUCAUUAAUAUGAAGAGAAGAAGCGAGAAAGGUUCGCCACUAUUCAAAACCGUUAAGGUCUGAUCGAGAAGCUCUUAUCCAGAGAUGUCUUUCCAAAAGCAGCUAUCUAGGGAAAUGAGAGAGAUAAAGAAUGAGUUUAGACGAACGAGGCCUAGCCUAAGACAUAAGAACAAAAAAAGCUUUGUAGAGAGACUCUAAUUCUUUGAGCCUCUUAGCGGAAUUAGACCGAGCCCUUGCUGCUACCUUGGCUUGGAAGCUAGGGUGCGCGGGGCGAAGCGGUAUUUCCCCGGUGGAACGAGAGAAAGGAAUGAUCGAGAUCAGGAUCGGCAUCACCUGGAAAGGAAAGGGUCUCCACCGGAGCAAGAGCGAGACUUGUAGAGAAGGAAGAGAGUGUCCCCUCAUUGAGAUCUUGCUAAGGCAGAGGAAGAAGGAGAAGUUGAAGAACUAGCUUAGAUUAUAGAUCAGCCUGUGACACAAUGACUGAAAUCUCUCAGCAGGCUUCGUCGUGCCCUAAUUCCCCAGACGCCCUACCCUCCCUGGACCUGAAAGAGAGAGCGCCAAUUCCUUCCACCGAUUUCCCACUACGCGGUUGAGGCAAUCCCCCUAUCGUUCAGGCAGAGCUUUUCUACCUGUGCGGAAAGGAGGCAAUUCAGGUUUCCUUUCGUCCACAGGGUGAAGGGGCAUAGGCGCAUAGGGCCAUAGACCGAAAUGGUUAAAGAACAUUUCUUUCGUGAAUGAAGAAAGCUUUCUUUAUCCUUAUGCCACAUCUCACUGAGAAAAUCAGUCAAAUGAGUCCUUCUCACCCAGCCGGGCUAAAGCACGAACCCUCAAAGACUUUACCACUUCCAUCCAUAAAUAGGGGAAUGAGCCCAACUGAGUCCGCUCGAGCCCUUGUUUUGACUCCUCUCAAAUCCCCCGUCCUCAGUCCUAUCCAUAUUAACCUGUGACGCAUCUGGACCCCUUAUAAUUGGAUUGCGCCUUUCUUUUUUUCUUUAUAAAGCUUAGUUCAUUCUAAUUCUAAAAGGAGAUUUUCAUCAAUCUCAUUUCAAAUCUUCCCCAUGCUAAAUCUCACAUCGGAAAGUCAAGAAGACGGACGAGAGGCGGAAUGAAAUAUGCGUUGACAAGACUGGAAGGCGCAUAUUGCCCAUUAGAGAAUUUGACUUUGGAGGAGAGGCUCAAUUCAAAGUUCAGCGGGAAGAACUGAUCGCAAUAUUCUUUGCACCUCCUUCAGCAUAAUCUAUUCUUUGCGCCUGUCUGUCCUUCGUCCUGGAGCGGUUUAAGACGCCUCAUAUGGAUAAAAACAAGUCGUCCUGGAGCGGUUUAAGAGUCCUAAGUAGCUUAUCUAGACUCGUCCUCCGCGGUUCAAAAUGGAAGGCUCAAAGGAUAUUGAGGCGAUGACAUUCUUUAUUUAGUCGCUCGCAAGAAGGCAAUAUUCAAAGCUCUUUUUUAAGCAGCUGCAAUAAUGAAAGGGAUCAUGACGCAAUAUUCUUUGCGCCUUCUACGCGGUCUCGCUUCUUCUUCGCGACUAAGUUCAGUGCUUUCUUUCAUUCUUCUUCCUUUGAAUGAGAAAAGGGCAAAUGCCAUGUUCAAAGCUUGAUUUUUCUCAUUACACGGGGAAUGAACUAGCCUUUGUUCGCCGACCGCGGUCUGUCUUCUUUAUCCUGAUGUGACUAGAGUCUUUUCAUUAUACAAGCACCGAAGCGCUACGCAUAUUUCAUUGCGCCUCGUUCAAAGCCUUUUUCUAUUUCAAGAAAGAGAGAUAUGAACUUCUCCUUAAAGAACUAGGAGAGAAAAUCGACUUCUGCCGGUCCGUCCUUAGUCGUAGUCUGAAAACCUUUGCCUAUUCCCCCGCUCCGUGGGCUUCAACAAAGGGUACGGAUGAUGAUUCCUUUUUGUUAUUUCCCCUUCUCCUAAUAUAAUAGGGUUAGUCGAGCUUCCGAAUCAGGCAGGUGUCGUGAGCGCCGAUUGGUCGAGGUGACUUGGCUUCCACCGCAUUGAUGACUAAGAAGCUUAGAUGAAAGGCUUAUGUCUUUUUCUGCUGACUUUGAUUUCAUUAUCCAUUCCACCUUCCUUCCAUCCGCAUUCGUCGAUGAGUGGAAUCCCUUUUCGGUAAAAAAACCAGUCGAGCCACUUUCUUUAGCCUUGGCUAGCUCAUAAGGCAUGAAACUAAGCGACUUCUGAAACAAGAAGAGCUACCCUUGAAAUAACCACAGCAACAGGAACAAGAACUGCCACAGCCGAAAGAACUAGGUCCUUCUAACCUCUCCUCUCCAGUCUCGCUUCUUCGAACCAGCGCCGGAACUGAAAUCCUUCGCCCACGGAUCUUUCUCUCGCGCGGGUCUGGCUCUCUCACUAUUAGAAUCUCUUCGUAGACCGGCCGAGACCAGUGGGCAGCGGUCACUUCCAGAGUCAGGAUGAUAUCAGUCAACUCAUCUGGAGCUUUUCAUUGAUCUCUUUCAAAAGAAAACCCUCUUCCUUUCAAAGUAAUAGGUUGAAUAGUGAAAUAGUGGGAUUGAUUUUGAUCCACUAGAAUGAACCGCGUAGGAGGAGGAUCAGAUCAAGGUGAACAAGAUCCCCAUAUUCAUUGGGGCGAAGAGUUUACGUAAAUCAAAGAAAAUGAGCUCAUUAACGAGAAUGAAAGAAGAAAAAAAUGUCUAAUCUUUGCUCAAGAUGACAUUCUUUCUUUUGGUGAUCGAGACCGCGUAGAAGGCGCAUAUUGCGAGAAACUUGAUUUGAGAAUAUUGCGUGAAAGGUCAAAAUAGUAAGGAGCAAAGAAUAUUGCGUGGAAGUGCACUAAUAGGGAAAAGUCAAUCAAAGAAAAGAAGCUCAUUAACGACUACUGGAUAAAGAAGUCCUUCGGACGGAACAUGGGAUCAAGCCUAUUUUCUAGCUUGCUUUGGACGAAUGCUUUCUUUCCUACCCAUUUCGAGGCGAGAUUAGAUUGAGGAGACGGAGUUCUAUUUAGAUAAGAAAAAAGACCUAGAGGGAGAGAAGAGGGAAAGAUGGAAAAACCCACUACGCGCCCCCAUGUGAGAUUGAAGUUUGAACGCCAAAUCAGCCAUUUGCUAGUAGGGACAAUCGAAGAUGUAGUAACUUCAGGCCGGUGAACAUGAGGAGCGAGUGAAAAGAGGCUAAAAUGGUUUUAGCAAAGAAGAUGUCUACGAGUCAAAAUCAUCCCCUAUCCUAGUGCGUGCCCCGUCUGUGACCAGACGGACUAUGAAUAUAUCUACUCCGAAAGGGACUAAGUUGCUGGAGGUGUAGAGGAGAGGGACAGAUUUGACCUCUGAUUCCGCUGACUCUGAAAGAAGGACUGGUGGGGACUUUCUUCUAUUCGCUCGUGAACUCGACCGCUUCCUGAACUCUUGAAAGGAAUUGAAGGACGGGUUCAAACUACGAACCGGACCGACCCGGCCGCUGCCUCUUCUUCUCUCGAUCCUAUCUGAGCCCACUGGGUCUCGCGACUCAAAUCCCCACUUUCCCACGGUUUUGAAGUGACUUAUGAAAGUAUGAAUCACGAGACUCUGCGGGAAGAGGAUUCUCACUCCUUCUUCUUCCCUCGCUUUCUCUUUCAUCUCUUGCAUCCACGCUUGGGCACGAAGGAAUCGGAAGACCUUCGUUAUAUAAUUAAUAAAAAAAGCAAAGUCUUCCCAUUCCCCAUUCAAUCAUCCCACUGUGGUAGGAGCCGGAGAGCAUAACUUAAAGAGAAAGCAGAAGCCUCACAGGGGACGCGAAGAGUAGGGCAUUCCCUGAAUUAGCUAGCAAGGUCACAUCCAUCGAGUAAAGAUGAACCGUCCGGAGGACUAAGAAAUCCAUAUGAGCCUUGAUUUAUUCCUUUUUAGAUCAAGAUUUUCAGUCCUAUCAUGCACAAUCUGAGGUAUUUUUCGGGUAUUAGACUGAUUUGGGAGAUGCAAGCUCAACCCACGGAGCGGUAGAUUCCCCUUACCCUACUUAUGUAUCAAUCUGCCGAAAGCGAGAAGUCUUCUCUUAUUGGGUUUCUUCUGCAAAGUUCAGAAGUAGAAGGGCUCGAAUAUAAUAUUGAGUCUUUUUUUUUCCUAUUUAUGUGAGGGGAAAUCUUUCAAUUAUUUCCGUAAAUAAUCCCCUCCGGUCCAGCUCUUCAUGGAAGUCGAGAGUGAAUCUUGAAGUGCGCGGGCAAUGCCGCUCAGUCUUAAAGUGGAAUCUUUUCGGAUGGGCUUCUUCUUCGUAUGACUCGGUAGCCAUAGCCCCAGGACGAAUACGAAUACAACCAGAGUCAGAUCUUGAACUUGAGACUUAAUAGAAAGGGAUAGAAAGAAGAAUGAACUAUUCACGGUGCCCACGUAGCGUCCAAGAAGAUUUUAGUUCCUGAAGAGCAAUAAGAAAAAGCAAAGCGGUGGCACUAUCAAAAGGACCCGUAGGCAAGGCUCCAUAAGACGGGGAUAUUGUGGACCCCUCGGACCCAGUUCCUUUGUUUAUAGUCAUAGUCUUUGAAUCGAUGUCUUAAGCAAAUGUAAAUGAAAGAAGAAGAAAGUUCAACGAAAGCCAGCGCUGAUUAUUGCGGACUCCUUCACAUCUUAUUCCUCGGAGGCUUUUAGGAUUUCUUAUCUUUUCUCGACUUUCUAUAUUUCAAGAGGGCGGGGAUUUGAAUCAAAAUCUUCCAUGAAGCAUAGGGCUUCAAAAUCAAACAAAGAGAUUCUCACUAAGAAAUCUUCGAUUUACCCACUACUUCAAUCUGAUUUCAUAUUUUCCUUUGUAUGAGAAAAUGAAACUUGGUCUUUUCCUCAUGCAAGAAUUCAGUACAAAAGCAGAAUCGGAAUACAAGGCUCAGCGAGGCCUCGGACGAAUGAAUCUUUUCUCUUUAUCUCUUUCCCAAGUGGCUUUCUUGAAUCCGUGCCUGCUUCGGCAUAGCCGCCCGAUAAAGCAGAUAGAGGCAAGUCCUCCGAAACCUUUUUGAAAGAAAGAGAGGGGCGCAGAGACUCGACCGUAGGGAGAGGGGCGAAGCCGAGAAUGAAACUGAAAGAGAGAGAUCUCACAAGAAGAAUUGAACUUCUUCAUGGGAUUCCCUUUAAAAGAAUGAAAGACAAAGAGAGAUUCAACAAGAUCGAAGAAGGAAAGAAAGAGAGAUCAUGAAAUCGUAAACUCAUGAAAGAAGAUAAGAGUUCAAAGAGUUCGAUCCAAGAAUUCGAAAGACUUCUCUCUCUCUAUGUUCUUGACUUCGUUCUUUAAUUCAAGAUCUGUAGAAUGUGAAAGAUGAAUAUUCUUUACUUGACUUCCUUCUUUACAUCGAAGACUUCUAAAUCUUAAUUCAAGAUCUCAUUCAUGACUUCGGAAAGAAGAAUGAAAGAUCCAAAUGAAAAAACCUUCUCCGCCUCUGAAAGAAGAAAGCCGUCACACAAAGAAAUCAAGAUCAAGCCUAGCCUGAAUGAACAAGGCCUUUCAUUCGAAUGCUCUCUGCUAGGGAAGAAAAAGAAGACAAGACGAGCGCGAAGGGAAGCGCAUUUAUCUCAGAAAAUCAGAGAAAACGACUCAAGAGGCCCAUAUUGCGAGAGGCUCGACCAGAGGUUAUCAGAAAGGAGACCUAGUUCACUCGAAGGAGAGGAGUGCAAGCAGUUGAGAUAAGAAAAAAGACCUAUAAGGACUUUUAGAAAGACUAUUUUCUGACUAUGCGGGAGAGAGAUUUGACCACAAAACCCACUAAAAGGAAUGCUCCUUCUCCGUCCUUCUACGGGGAAAUAGCAUUUCUCUAACGAGAAAUCCUUGUUCUCAUUUGCUUAAGGAGUUUUGGACUACUUCGUCCGCCUCAUCCUAACCACCUUGUGGUAGGAGAAGGAGAACCGCGCCCAGUAUGCCUUCCCCAAAGGAAGGAGGUUUCGGAAGGACUCGACUAGGGUCCGGAACGAUGUAGCCUUUACCUUUAGGCCCCGAAUCGGAAAGGAUAGUUCAAAAAUAAUAUAAUGCCUGAGGACGGUGGGAGUCUUUCGUAUUGAGCUGCGGUUCUUGCUCGGCCUGCUGGGUGUCGGAAGAUUAGGCUAUCAAUGAGAGAAUGUGCCAUCCCUUGUCCCAGUUCUUCUUGUUGAAGCCGUUGGAGCAGCCGAAAGUUUCUAAUUUCAGCAAAGUGAUUUGAAAAAUCAAGGUCAUCUCAACGCAUAUUUCAUUGCACCGCGGAGUGGGGCGCAAGUAAAUCAAAGAAAAGAUGGCGGGUGCAGAUGUGCCAUAAGACAGGUCCGAAGGACAGACAGGCGCAUUGAAGAAUUAUAAGGGGACCAGAUGACGGGGAAUUUUGCGUGAGUUGCGUGAGAAAAGAAAUUAAUUGACUGGAUCUCAUAUGGAUUUCUUAGUCCUCCGGAGACGGUUCAUCUUUCUUUUUUAGUUCCAUUAAUCAGUCCUUCGGACCGGUAAGAGGUGCAAAGAUCUAUGGCCCACUACGGGGGAUAUUGUUCAAAAACAAAGGCUCAUCUUCAACCUUGUUUUUGAUGCGCUCAGGUAUUGCCAUUAGAAAAUUUCAACUUCGAAUUUCUUCUCUACUCAUUCAACUUCGAAUUAAGUUAAGAUCUCCAUUUGAGAAUUCAGAUCUCAGUCUGAGUAUGAGAUCGAUGACGCAUGAGUUCCAUCAAGGUGGUAACAAGAGAAGAGUUCCAGCCAGAGGAAGCAAGGUUUCAGACCAGUCUGAUUUAUGGAACUCAAUCUUUCUGGGAGUCUGAAUGUGGGCUAGUUUCAUGAGUUGGAUCGGAGAGAAGGAGCUGAGUUUACUCAAGGGAGACAUUUAAGCGGAAGCCUUGUGCAAAGAAUAUUGCGGUUCAGUCAGUUAAUAAGGCCCGAAGCGAAGCGACUGCCCACGUAGCGGUAAGGAGCGCAAAUCGACAAAGGAGUCCUUCUCCGUCCGAAGGACCAAACAAAAAUAGAAUGUGCUUCUCAUCUCAACAAGAGAAGAAAGAUCAGAUUUCUCAACUACUUAUUAAGAGAGAGAUCUGAACCUAAUAAAUACUGAAGAAAAGGCUAGAAGCGACUUAAGAGGAGGAACCCACUCAAAUCAAAGUCAGAAGAACCGAAAGCGAAGCGACUGAUCGAUUUCUUGCUAGGAAGAAGGGGAAAGUUCAGUCAGGAGCGGAGCCCCCCCUAGGAGAAGGAGUCCUUUUCAUAGAAAGGAAUCAAAUAGAACUACUCCUCUAUAUUAGAAUAGCGAAUAGUCCUUCGCCUAAUUCCGAAAACAAAAGUAAUAGUAUUCAUCUUUUCAUAGAUCGGUUUUUUAGUUCCUAUUUACUGAAUAUGGCAAUUAUAAGGGGUCCAGAUGCGCGAAGCGAAGCGACGGAUAGAAGGCGCAAAGAAUAUUGCGGUUUGGAGGAGUGCAAGGCGCAAAGAAUAUUGCCCUAUUUAAGGCCUUUGCUUUGGGAUCAUGACUCUCCGCAAUAUGAAAAGCUCCUAACGUCUCCUUUUAUAGCUUUAAUUAAUCAUGACUCGCUACAAUAUCCCUGUCUUAUGGAGCGGUCAAUGAAAUAUGAGAAAGAAUUUGAGAGGCGCAACUUAAGGACAUAGACAUUUGUGGAUUCUUCUUAAUCAGUUCAUUAACGAGAAUGAAAGAAGCUAAAAACAAAAAGAAUCUGCUAGAUUUCAGAUGAAUCCGCGGAGGGAAAUGCUAGGUUUUGGGCUCGACUGAUAAGGAGAGCUGAAAAGAAAUAGUAGCAAGAAAAGACAAAAAAUCAGUCAAAAAAGUACUUUUAUCGUUAAAUAGAAAUCUUCGAAAAAGUCCUAUUUAGAAGCAAAAAAGCCGGGAAAACGCAAUGAAAGAAGAACUCCUAGGACAGGUAAAAUCAAUGUCAGACUUCUAGUUUGAGUUUCUGGUCCGGAGAAAUACAGGUCUAUUCUUCUCAAUAUUCUUUGACCCUCCGUCUUCAAUCUCAAAAUCAAUGAAGGAGUACAAUGAACAUCAUAAGGGGACAGGUGACGGGGAGGCUGAAUUCAUUGAGAUUCUUAAGAAAUUGAUUAGACCACUUUUCUGGAGGGGUCCUACUAUCGUAGCAAGAGUAGCUGAAGUUGAAGUUCAACUUAAGGAUUCCCACGGAGCGGCCAUAAUAUCUAAAAGAAACUUCAGCAUUACUAGUCAGCCUCAUAAUAUAGAAGAUGAAAGUAGCGGAGGAGGAGUUUAUUGAAUCUGAUUUCACCUUCCUCUUCCAAAUCUACACUCAUUCAUUGAUCUAUUUUGAUCUAUAUUAUUCAUUCAAUCUCGCAAUAUGAACCUUCCUCUUCGAUAAUUCUUUGUUCUUUGUUCGCAACUCAUAUUGCAUUGAGCCUCGCAAUAUUCUUUGCGCCUUAACAUCCUUGGUCAACUCUUGGGGCAGUGGAUAGAGCUCGUCCCUAUUUGACUGACGAGGGUAGGGUUAGCUCUUAUGAGAAGUGCAGCUUGUUGACUGCCACAAAGCGGCUUUCCUCAGGCCUUGACUGUGGCGAGGCUACGCCUCUCUCAAGAGAAUCCGUUUUCCCGAAUCAAUGCGCGAAUUUCCUUUCCAUUCUAUCUCUUGGUUGAGAGAAAUGCGCCUGACUCGAUCGGUACCAGGGGCUAGCUAUUGACUUUGAUUCAUAGUAGGAAUAGGAAGAGAGACUCUUUGCAAUUCAGAUGGCUUUCUUCUUUCAUCGCCCCUUUCCCUUUCGCCCAAGGAAUCCUCUUCUUCGGCUCUGAGGCAAGAAGUCAGGGCUAAUUCUCAUCUCAUCCCGGUGACAAGUUGCACAUUCAAAAGUGAGUUCAGUUACUCUUAGCAACUCUUCGCGAACCUAUACUAGCUCCAAGAACUCCUCUCCUUGAAAGACAGGAUGAAUCUUAAGAGCAACUUUCAGUCUUAGCCCUAGCGUGGGUGAGUGGUAAGCGUAGGAGGCGAUAACGAAGGGCAGCGGCAGCAGUGUGUGUGGUUCCAGGUGCCGCCGCCUCAUUGAGAUCCGCAGGGGAGACUGAGAUUCUACUUAUGUAUGGGGUCGUAGGCUUAGUAGGGCUCGAACCUAGAAUAUCACCCUUAUCGUUAUGAGCGGUACCUUGAAAGCAAUGAAACUAUCCGUAUCUCUCUACAUGCAAUUCGCUCACUUCGGUAAGAGCGGACGAGGAGGCCUUUGCUCUCUCCUUUGUCCCAGGAAUGAAUUAAUAGCGAGACCGGAGGGAGAGGAAUGAAAUAGCGAGACCGCCCACGGAGCGGGAGAGGAAUUCUGAAUUGGAUAAAUACAAGAAGCAAGCGGCCCUUUCGCGAAAAAAACUGUCGGUACGCUUUCCGGCUUGCAAUGAUUCAAAGGGGCGGAGGCUCAGAACCUCAAAAUAAUACUGAAAGCCUAUCUUCGCUUUUAGUUAGAAGUAGAAGUAGAGGGCGCCCCCCACACUUCUCAAAAAGUAUGGAUGGAUUGACGAAGAAAAAAUACAUAAGGAGUCAGAAAGAAAAAGGUUCUUCAUCGAUAGUCGGACCUAUAUAUUCCACUGAUCAUGUUCCUGCUUUAUUUCAUAUACUUUACUACACCUAAAAAAUUCCUACCUCUUCCCCUUUCUGUCAAUCUUGCCAAUUCCGACUAAUGUACCCGAGUGCAUACAGUUGCCCAACUACUUUCUUUCUCCGACUUCUUUAGCCACUUUUCCGCAUCUCUUUUAUUCGAUUCGGGAGAGCUUGCUUCGUGGCGGAGCAUUUAGCAAUGCCAGCAGCCUAGUGAGGGUUGGCUGUCUGGGGACAGGUUAAGGCAGGGCCCGCUGCUUCCAUAAAAAAGAGAAGAAGAAGAAAGCCGGAGGUCAAGAUAGAUAUAGAAGGGAAGGAGCCCUCUCGCUUGCUUAGAUAGUUCCACCCCUGGGCUUUCUUCCGCUCCGUGGCUUUCUUUGUUCGGAACCUUCAGUAGUAAGAAGGUGAAAAGAAUAUUUCAUUGUCUUCUUCUUCUUCCUAUGCCUUAUUCACUUCCGCCCCGUGGGUCUGAAACUUCCUAUAUCCUCUUAUGAUACAAAGUCCUUAAGGACUCAAAUUCUCCAUAUUCUUUGUAUAUUCCGUCGGACUUCUUUAUAUCCGUCCGAAGGCAGGAAAAAUAGUAUUCAUCCUUGCGCUCCUGUUAAGGAGCAAAGAAUAUUGCGUUGAUGAGUGCAACUAAUUAAAUCAACCAUAUUAACUUCUCUCAAGUCUCCAACUUUUUUAUGGAUUCCUUCCAUCUCACCUUUACAGAGCAGCAGCUCUCCUUAUUUCAUUCCUCUGAACUCUCCUCGGUCAUCAGUAUCCUCGGACGGAAUGGAAUGACGGGCUUUGCACUCUGAUUUAGUAGGAGGAAAAGAAGUUCUCCCUCUGAUUUUAGGAGUUCAAAGGAGUGAACAAGUGGAAAGAAUGAAAUGGCUUUCCCGAUUCCGGGAAGGAGUUCAGCUGCGCAGAGUCCGACUACGCGGAUCGAAGGAGGAGCUUCACCGGAAAGAGGUUCGCAGAAGAAAAAUCAAGCUCCAGAUGAGUUGACAAAGGCUGAUCAAGUUUACCCACAGAUCUCAUAUCUUUAUGAAGAAAGAAAUCCCAUUCUUGCUCGAGCAGAAAGAAGAAAGAAGAGGCGCAAAGAAUAUUGAGAAGAUAAAGAAAGGCCUACCCCUCCAAAAUCAUUGAGGGUGAAUUCAGGGUCAUAGGGAGGGAAGCCCCACUCUUUAGUUUAGUAGGCUCUUUCCCUUCUUUAUUAGGUUAUUAGGAAGGAAUGCUCUAUUAUCUACAGGGAAGUAGGACCAUCCGCCAUCUGCUGUCUCCGCUGAGGAGGAAGGCUGAAGAAGGAUAGGGAGUCUUCUUCCACGAAAGAAUGAAGGUCUAGUUCAGAUCCAUAUCAAAAGAGUGAUAGCGACCAUAUGACCUGGAAUUCCUUUCUCCCUACUUCUUUCUCUAUUCUGAGUCCUCAACUUGCACUCCUUAACAGUCGCUUCGCUUCGUCCCUCUCCGGAAUUCUCUCUCCCUUCCUAUCCGAUUUACGGGGUUGAAGUAGGAAAGUAUUCUGAAUGAACUAGUCCAUCUCGAACUCGAGAAGACGGAGGCGCCCCCAGCUAUCUCUCAUAGGUCGGGGGAAUAGGGCAUGGCCCAGUCUCAGCACACCAAGCAAGAGCAGACUGCCUCGAAGAAAGGGUCGGGCAGAAGAGGGUUUCCGGCCAAACCCGGGAAUCAAGGUAUUUCAUUACUUAAUGAUUAGUCUUCUCCGUCACCGACCGACCGAGUGGGAGAGUCCGCCUUCCGAGCGGUUUUUGAUGACUGAAAUCUUAUCAUAAGUAAUCGCGCCUCUUUCUGUACAUUAAGCAAGGCGCUUCUAAUGGAUAGUCCGGAGGACGGGAAGAUUGCCACUUUCAUAUUUUCUUCUAAUAUCAAAUGAAUGAAGAAAGAGAAUUACUUAAUUAUGACUGCAGAUCUUUCUAAUAUCAAAUGAAUGAAGAGCACUUUCGCGCCUCACUACUACAAAAAGUUCCCCUUUAGGCUGAAUGAAUUGAGAAGAUGCGCCAUAAGACAGGCGCAAAGAAUAUUGCUCGAAGAGUGCCAUAAGACAGGGAUAUUGUUGAGAAGAAUAUUGAAUGAAUGAAUCUACCUUUCAAACUACUACUGCUACAGCUGAUUAAGUCGCUGCGCUCCAUCUUUCUUUCCUUCCCUUUCCUCCCCCUUCUCCCGCCCUGCCACUACUAGAAAGCCGGAAAGCCCGUUUUAACCCCUCUCGCGAUAUUAUCGUUGUUCAAUGAUUGAUUCAAAGAAUGAUCCCGAAAAACCAGAGUGAAUCCUAGCGUUGCCAACGGAUUGGGACAUUGUACUAAACGGCAUCAAUUGUAGGCACCCGUUCAUGAGCCCCUUAGUGGGUGGCCCUGGUCGACCCGGUCUUCGGACCUACGAUCAGGCUUGAACCUUCUUCCCCAUAAAGAAGAGAAAUCAGGCUAUUAAGGCAUGAAAUGCCCAACCCUAGCAUCUGCUGCCACUGCAACUGCAAAAGCAAGAAGAAAAGAACAAGGGCGGAAACUAUCCCCCGGGAAGUUCAUAACCUUCUGUGUUUUAAACAAAGGAGCGCAUCAUGAAAGACGAAUGAGAUCAAUCUCUCUCCCAAAUCUCUCUCUUCAGACAAAGACGAAAAGAGCUUGAUUUUGCAAAUUCUUUUUCUGUCAAAAUCAGGAAGAUCAUAUGAGAAGAUUAUGCCUCCAACUUUUUGAUGGAUGCCUUCUAUCCUUUCUUUAUCUUUCUCGUAAACUCACUCUCGCAGCUUAGCUUCGCUUCCUCCUUUGCUUUGGAGUUGUCUUUCUUCUUUUCUUGUCUUCUUUGUAAUAGUCUUACCUACGGCAACUCAUAUUGCAUUGAGCCUACUACGCCUUCUACGGGAGUGGGGAGUAACCUAAUAAAUACUGAAUAAGACUCUGUAGGAGCCGUAGGAGAAGUCCUUCUCCUCUAAGAAAAAAGCCUAGGUCAAAGAACAAGCAUCAGUGUCUUUCGGUUGCCAAGAACAAGUUUCAUCGGAAGUCAGAUAAGUAGAACACCGAGGUAAGAGGCGCGAAGAGGGAAUAUAAAUAGUCAGACUAAAGGGUUCAGCCGACCGAGUGGGAGAAAGAGACCGGCGAGAAAGGUAGGUUUGAAUAGAAGGAGCUAGCCCACUAGAAUAGGGCUUAAUAGAAUAUUCUAGAGCUAACCCCAUAGGGUGCAGAACGACUGGGUAGAUCUUUGAGAAGAUCAGUGCUGAUGGGAGGGAGAUCCGUUCCGUAGACCGGAAAUAAUACGACUUCUCUGAGGUAUGGUAUUGCUAGCUUGCUUACUCUGAAUAAGGAGUAGGCGCGGGCGGCCCAGUGUCUCGGUUUGCCGCGAAAGAGAAUUCCCCCACCAGGUUGAAGUGCACGCCAAUGUAGAAUCCCUCGUAAGGAAGCAAGAUUGAAUGUCAAAUCAAAUCAGUCUAGUCUAUUUCCUAGAAAAUGACUUUUCUUUUCGAUGUGCGCAUAAAUACUCCUUUAAUGGGUUAAACCAGGUGGAUCGGCACAUAUUUGGAGUAGGUAAUGAGUACACUUCAGCCGCGUAGAAGGAGUCUUCUUCCUCUCGAGUGGAGUUUCUUUCCCCUUACUGACUACUGGGACGGGAGGAUUCGAACCUCCAAAUAGCGACCACUGCCCGCCCCAUUCAAGACCUUGAUCAUAGUACACUUCCGGAACAAGAUCUCAUACAGCGUAGACCCCUACGUCUGUCAGGUCGAUCCGGCCUCUUUAUCUGACUCAUUCCGAUCGAGACGGAUUCCUAUGCGGAUUUUUUUGAUUCUAUAUUACGAAAGACAGAUCCAGCCGCGUAGGAGGCGUAGGAGGCCUCCGCUAUAUACUCCUCCGGUUUUCAGACUCAAAAACAAAGGUCCAGAUGACUGAUUUAUUCCACUGAAGCUCGUCGGUCGGUCGGAAGCGAUAUAGCGAUAUUGGCUCUCCCGAUAGAACCCAAAAUCAGGCGAUCGACGGUCCGUCAGAGGGAAUGAAGUAGAAAAAGUCUUUAGAGACCUGAGUGGCUCUGUUCCGGUUGAGCCUGUAGCCGUUGUCACAGCUCUUUGAAAGAAGCUAUUUGAGAAAUAUGUCACAAGUAAGAAAUGGAUGAAAUAGCUAGACAAGGUAGAAGUUAGAGGCAGGAGAAAGAAAGUCCCAAACGGAACUCCCCAACACCAGCAUUGGAUCUCGCAGGGAAAUCAUCCAAAGAUCCAUACUGGAAGAAAGAGCCUGUUCUUCUCACUUUCGACGUACAUUAUCAAAGAGAGAGAUAAGAAAACCCCUAGAAAGUCGCUAUCCUCCCAAUUAGCUUAGGAAGGAGAGUCCAGAAGACGUACUCAUUCCCUAUGUUUUGAAUAUGUGCACCUCGGCACAAGGCCCCGUUCCAGUUGAUGAAGUGGCAGGGGAAGUCAGUUCCCCCUUAAGAUCUGUCCUCGCUCUUGUUCUUUAAUAAGAUGCUUAGUUUCGCCUACCCCAUGAAUUUGGGGAUUUGACCUCUCCGUCCGAAGGACUCCUACGUCGAUUUGCGCUCCCAGAGUAAUGUUUAUAAUAGUCUGUAAAUCAUUCAAAAAACAAAGGUCAUCUGAAACCCUUUUUUUGAUGCGCCUCAGGCGCAAUGAAAUAUGCGAGUAGGCUGAAUUCAUAUGAGUUUAAGUAGGCGUAGGCGCGAAGCGACUCUUAAGGAGUGCAAGUUGACCUACUAAAUGAGGCGGCUCUUGGACAAGUUCGUCAUUCGAUAGGAAAUAGGGUGCUCCACCAGGAUGGACAAAGGCUCGGCUUCCAGGUACAUUGGGGUAGACUGAAAGAAAGAGGAGAAAAGCUCUCAAUUGCUUAUGAGCCCUUAUCCAAGAAGGAAGCUUUUCUCUUAAAGGAUUCCACCGCGUGAUCUCCUUUCAACUUUCUCUCUUUCCAAGGCAAGGAUUGACCCUCUUUUCUUGGGUUGGGUAGCAGUUCUUCUUUCAGUUUCAGCGGGAGAAGUUCGUGCUUUUCUUGCAGCUGACCGCUCCGUGGGCUCUGUCCCAAGCCUCUGCUACCAUUCAAAAAGACCCUGACUCCUGAAACCCUGGAUUGGCAGGGUGAAGAAGAUUAUAAGUCGGCUCAUCAUUCUAAGGUCCGGAGGCUCCGUAGGAGUUGAGAGGUUGCUGCGAGACAAAACUCUUCAUUCUCAGCUUCCGUUGAGUAAGUGCUUUCCUCUUCCUGAACUUUUCAUCGAUCAGUCGCUUCGCUUCGCGCCGGAGGACGACUGAAAGGAGAGGCGCAAAGAAUAUUGCGGAAAUAUGCAUUGAAUAGGCUCAAUGUAAUAUGAGUUGACGAAAAGAAAAAAGAAAAGAAGCUCAUUAACGACUAAUGGAUAAAGAAGUCCUUCGGACGGAACAUGGGAAUGAAAAAUGUGCAUCUUUGUGCUAGAUUUCAGAUUAAUCCGCGGAGGGAAAUACAAGAAAAUGCUAGGUUUUGCCCAUAGGGAAGUAGCAAGAAAUCAAGUCAAAUGCCUUCUUUUUCACUCAAUUAUCGUAGAAUAUCCAUAUGAGAAAAAGUAUGAAAAAGAAGCAAAAAAGCCGGGAAAACGCAAUGAAAGAAGAACUCCUAGGACAGGGAAAAUCAAUGAAGACUUCUAGUUUGAGUUUAUGGUCCGGAUACUGACGGGUCUAUUCUUUAUUUCACUCCAGGUUAUGAAAGAAAAAUGAUUCUUGAAUUCGAGUGAAUGAGUUCAUUCUGCUUUCAUUCUCGUUAAUGAGCUUCUUUUCUUUUCUUGACUUUUGUUUGUGCCAUAAGACAGGUCCUCCGGACUAUCCAUUAGAAGAAAGGUUAGAGCAAAAACCUUCAGUCGUCUAUUUGUCAAAUCUUUCCCUUCUGAAAUCAGACUGAGUACAUAGAAGUGCGAAGGAGCGAAUCGACCAAAGAGAAUAGGAGCUAUAGAGGUUUGGCCUACAACUACUAUCCAUUUGUUGCCUUAGUCAGAUAGCUGACUUUUAGGCAUAGCAUUAGCAGUCGAGGAUCACAUCUCUGUCAAUCAGUUUCAAGCAAGAAAGGACAAUUCGCAGAUGCGGGGAAUCGGACCCACGGAGCUUUAGACAUAAAGAAACCUAUCCAGCGGUAAUAUAGAUCAAAAUGCAAUUCCGACUUUCUCAAAUUCUUUGAGCAUCGACCGCCUUGAUUUUUCAAUCUUCUUUCUCAUAUUCAUUCACCCGCGUAGUGGGGAGCUUUCGCAAAUUCUUUGCGCCUAACUCUUUAAAUAGAGUGUCCAGCUGAGUCAGAAACCGCAUCUUUGCAACCUUUGGGAUCAUGAAUCUUCAACCUUGUUUUUGAAUUGAGCCUAACGGAGGAAGAAUAUUGCGAUGAAGAAAGGUCACUGAAAGAGGAAGGGGAAUGACCAUUCAGAGCAAGAACAAGACUAUCUCUUAGACUGUCAAAAGUAGCUCGAUCGGGAGCCAGAUAGGGAGCCCCAGGCGAAGGACCAAUUCAGAGCAACUGAAAUAGGAGACUAGCCCUAGCUAGAACUUGAGAAUCUAGGAUCCUCGGGCUGGUGGGGCACCCCUUGAAUUAGUUCUUGCGGAUGCAGCACUAUCAGUCCUUUCUCCAAAAAUAGAUCGCACUCCGCGGUAAAAGGCUUUAUUGUAAAGCAAUUAUGAAUAGAUUGAAUGAACGAGUAUAAUAAAUGGAAGGGAUGAAAUAAGGAUUGGAUUCUCCUACAAUAAUCAGUCAAAGGCUGUACACUAGGCUGGGGCCAAAGGAAACUCGCCACGACGAGGGCGCCGAAGUAAAGCAAUCUCUCUUUUUCCGUCGGCCUUCUGAAUUGAUUGACUUUUCCAAACUAGUAAAAAGACUAGAAGCACCGGUGGCAACCAGGUCUUUCCACUACAAGGGGAAAGGGCUAGACGACUAAGAAAGUCUCUUUAUUCUGAGGAUCAAGGCUCAAGCGAGGUUACGAAGCCCACGGAGCGGCAGCUGCCCUUUCUGCUCUUCCCCUUCUUGUAAGGCUCUUGCUCUCUCUCUUUCCUUCUUGCUUUUCUUCUUGCUAAAGCUUCUAUUCAAGAUAACUCAUAAAUCAAAGAUCAAAGAUUCCCGAACCGAAAAAUCAAGCUCCUUACAACGCAUAUUAUAUUCUAUCCUCGGUGCAACUUCUCUCAAAUUCUUUGAGCCAAGGACGUGAAUUUGGAUCAUCGGCGUAAAAGCUAAGAAUUCAGGCUUGGGCUAAUAAUUAGGGGAGCUCGGUACUUCGGACUAUUUUAGCUCGGCUCCUUACUCCGUCUUUAGGGGAGCUCGGAGAUUUCCUCUUGAUAUGGUUCCGAGGGAGUUGUCCGGUUUCCGGAUUUAGGAAGUAGAUUGGCCUUUCAGGUUUCCUGCUUUCUAGCUCGGUACUUCUUCCUUGCUCCGAAUCGGCCUUUUAGUAGCUCGCUCGGGAGCCUUUCUAUAAUAUAAUGGGAUUGGGUAUCGUCCCUUUGACUCUUUAUUUAGGAAUGGUAUCAGCUGCGCUUUUCCGUAUUUCUUUUCCCCUCCUAGUAGACUCUUCCUUAGAACUCCCUUCAUAGGAAAGUAGCCGAUAGGGACAUUGGGUUCGGAGCCCAUCAAAAUCUCAAUCGCAUAUUUCAUUGCGCCUCUUCUUAUUUUAUUCUUUUUCUUUGAUUUUCUUGUUCGUUCAAUUGGGAUCGAGCCGAAGCGUCAUAGUGAAACCUUGUGAAUUCAGGCUAUCCCGUUCUUGGAAGAGGAGAAUUCGAUCUUUCAUGAGAUCUUUCUCUUUGUAUUCAUACAUUAUUCUAGGAAGAAGUCCCAGCUGAUAGGGAGGAAGAAAGUCAAUGAACAAGGCUCAAAGAAGAUUGAGAAAGAGAGAGAGUCAGCUAGACCGAUCUACGCCGCUUGGGACCGAGUUUCAGCUUCUGAGUUGGAGUUUGACGGGGAAUGAGAUAGGGUAGAAGCGUGAUCACUAGAUCAAUAGGAAGCUCCCCCGGCCGAAAAGGGAGGUAUGAAGUUUACCAGAUUGAGUUCUUUCACAGGUAACUGAGUAAUUCUCCAAAGUCAGGUAAUUGUCUCUUGAGUCCGCUCUUUCAAGGUAAUGAGAAAAUGAGUUGGAAGCAUCAAAGACUGAGUCAUCCAGCAAGGCCAGCCAGCCGUGAAUUAGUAUGGUCGGUCGGAAGGGAUAUAGCGAUAUUGGCUCUCCCGAUAGGCUAGAAUAAUCUUAUAGAGCGGUUAUCGAAUCUUUCCCGAGGUGUGAAUAUACUGAGUCAAGGACGAAGAAUGGAUCCCUUUCGGUAGAGCUCAGUGGGAAAGGUAUAAAGGGAGGAUCAUUCAUCAGACUGAGUACGGUCCCCUGAAGUAGGGGAGUCAGCCGGGGAAUCUCUCUAAGCCCAAGGUUUUGAAGUGACUGACUUUACUCUUCAUCACGAUACGGAGCGGUAUUCAGCAGCUAUACAGAGUGGGAAAGGUUAUCAUCGCUUUCAUAUUUUUUCCAACAACAGGCGCGGGUUUCAGAUGAGCUUGAUUUUUCAUUGAGGCGGUAGGGGGUAGGUACAAUGGGGACUCCCAAAAGAGGAAGCGGAUGACGAACUUUCAGGGGAACGAAGGGAAGGCCCCAGGGUCGGUCGGCAUGGCAUCGGUUGGUGGCAGAACCUGAGCCACCCCUUGAGUCAAAUGAGAAGUUUCAUAGGUGCCAGUUGACGAGGAUAGAAGUGAUAUUAUUUGUUUCGGGAGAGGGGCAGGCUGCAGAGUAGACGAGGGGAAGGAGUGCAAGUGCUCAAAUAUAAAAGCAGGGAGACUAAGAAAGACCGGCCGUUCAUUAGUUAGGAACAAAGGUAUGAAUUAGACCGAGCCCUAGCUUCUGGAGUACGAGACACCCCUAACCCGAACCUAGGCUUUCUCUUUCUUUUCUCGUAGAAGGAGGCGCAAAGAAUAUUGCAAAUAAAGGCUCGGCUUUCUAUUAAGGAUCAAUUCAAAGUUCAGCGGGAAGGUGCAAUAAGACAGGUCCGAAGGCGCCAUAAGACAGGUCCGAAGGACUAUCCAUUUGAGUUGCGUGAGUUGACUGGUCCGAAGGCGUCACAGGUUAAUAUGGAUAGUCCUUCGCAAAGAAUUUGCGCCUAACGUCGAAUAAGAAGCUGGAGGCUGGGUGAGGCGCAAAGAAUAUUGCGAUGUAGUUCAUAUAGACCUUUGUUUUUCUUCCGUCCGAAGGCUAGGCGCAAAGCUCAAAUACUUUGAUCCUAUUAGAUUAUGCUGAAGGAGGUUCAUCUUUAGGAAAUCUGAUUCCAUAGGUGAUGACCGGAGAUAGAGAUGCUGUCGAGCUACUAAUCCGUCUCACCUUGAUCCUGAACGGAGACGGAUGCCUAUUCCUCAUACUCUUCAUCGAAUCCAUAUCCUAUCUACUGAAUAGUGAUUAGAUAAGAGAGGAUAGCGGCUUAGUCGAGAUGGGAUAGUUCUUCGACCCUUGACUCCUUUUCAUUUAGAAGUCAGGCCUUCAACUCGAGGUUCAGACUAAAAAAAAGGAGGCCUACGAAGCCUUAAGCUACUUUACAGGAGUGCACUCACGUCCAAAGGUUCAAAGAAGAAAUCAUGCUGCCUUCUCUUUCCAUGCAUUCCAUUACUGAAUAAUGAAAGAUCUCUAAGCCCUACGUGGGCUGCAACGGUCUCUGGGCGAAGACCGAUCGAUCCGACCGAGGACGACUCUCCUCUGUCCCCCAAGCUUAGCGAAAAGACGAUCUCCUCUGAUUCGUAGGGGAUUGGUUGAGAAAGUAGGAAUGAAGUCAGCUUAUUCCAUAAAUAUGGGUCGGUCCCUUCCUAUCUGCGCUGGUGGUCGUAUUCUCGUAAUUCAGCCUUGAAUCAGGCCUUGGGAGCAGCCAAAGUUCAGCCAGAUUGCUCAUCUUAUACAAGUCCGAUAGAGUCUCUAUCCGGGGGGGCUUACUUACCUUGAUUCCCUAUAAGCCUUUUCUUCUGGUCUCGCGGUUGAUUGAUCCAAGGCUGAAGGAUAAUCUUCCCGGGUCCAGGUUCGGCUGGAUUCAUUCCCCGUCUUUGAAUGAGCAAAAAGAAAGCUCCAGAUGAGUUGAGCAUUUAGAAAAUGAAGAAAAUGCAUGGUUUGGGCCUAUAUGGAAGGCAAGAAAGAAAUAGAGGUAGUUAACUCAUUGAUAAUCAAAGUAGAUAGGCUUUUUCCUUCCAUUUCGAAGCGGGUGGGUUUACAUCAUUCAUUCAUGGUGGAGAAGUUCUUGUGAGCAUUAAGACAUUGAAUUUGGUGUAUUACCGCUACGUGGGCAUUCGGAAGGAUGAUCACCUUACCACGAGGCCCCAUUCCUUUCUUCUCCCUCUCUGUGGCUGGAAAAAUCGGGUAGGCUUCCCCCCGAGCCCGCCCAUCCAUAAAUAAAUAGAGAGAAGGCUCAAAGAAUUUGAGGAGUCAGAGACAUAAGGAUAGGCAGUGGCAGCCGCUCUUGAAGUUAGUCUUGGAGCAUCCAAGGGAAGUUUCUGUCUCAGUUUCGAAGUACUAUUUAUUAGGGAACCGAAUGAGAGUAGGACUAGCCAUAGAACAAUUAUCGUUAGGGUCUUAUGCUCCUUCGUUAUGCUGCUUGACCGUAUCGGAUAGGAUAGAAGCUUUCCCUAGGUCGGAAGCAAGAUCGAAUUAUGAGUAGGUUUAGGAUGAGCUACUUUGGAGAGCAUAUUCCGAGCUCUAGUCGGCCUGCGGAGAUUCCUCGGUGGAGCUACCCUCUAUCUAAGAUAAAAGAGAACCUUUCCCGUAAAGAGAAAGAUCGAAAAUCUCUUUCCUUAUUCACACCUAUCCCACUGGGGAAGUUCCACUCUAGCUCCUUGUAAACUCGGAAAAGCUGAUGAUAACCUGCACCCUAUCGAAACCUCUCCUGUAAGUCUCGCUUAGCUCUGAUCAACUGAUAGAACUCCGUCUGAUUUUGCACUUCUUCUAAGUCCAAGUUCGGAACUAAUGUGCGUAGGACCAAUCCGAAACUCCAUAAAAUCAGUGAAUAAGGAAUCCUUCCUCUUACUAGUAAUCCUGAAGUUUGGCUCGCCCAUAAUUGAAAGGGAGAAAACGACUCAAAAAAAGAGGUUCAAAGAAUAUUUCAGACUCCCACGGGGCGGAGAGGUGCAAAGAAGAAAGAAGAGAAUGGCGAUCAGAAGAUUGAGAAAUCCAUUAGAAUGAGCCUCAUGGGACUAGCGCGUCAGAAGAAGAGGAGCGAAGGACCCAGUUGGCUAGGAGUUAUCGGAUUCCCAUAUUAAGCUACGGAGGCCCAAAGAAUAUUGCGGAGAAGAAGAUGUCGGUAGCUCUUUCAAAAAAAGGUAAUUCAGUAUACGAAAAGUCAGAGAAGAGAACCACCUCGUUCGAGAGGAGCGGGCGACCCUCUCUUUCAUAGUCAAAUAAAAGCCCAUUAUAAUAUAAGGCCCAAAGAAUAUUGCGAGGAGCCUCAACUCAUAUGUAAAAGACCUGUCCUCAUGCAACGUCCAAACAAGGAGAAGAAAGCCAGGAGAAAGCAAGGUGCUUUAAGAGGGAGAGCUUGACUCUGUGCUAUAGUCCCUCUCUUCCGUAUUCAAAGUGACUUCGUUCGGGAUCCGGAACGAGUAUGUACUGCAUUAUGCUCAAUCCCAUAAAUCAUCCUUUGAAGGCUUGAAUGAGGAUACUGAAACUAGAAAGCUUCUCCAGCGUCUACUUCCUCAACCACAGCCACCGCUGAAAGAACUCAAUCUGGAUCCCGUAGUUAGGAGCAUGAUUUAUUUAUCAUAUCAGGCCUUGAUUCCCUAUCAGCCUGAACUUCCUGAACCUUGCAUAACCUUUUCCUAUAUGGAAAAAGAAAGAAAAGAAGAAAGACGAUAAAGCAGCAAGGGGUGAAGCCAAGCGAGAGUUAAGGAGCGCAAAUCUCCUACGGAGCGAGAAAGCAAGCGAUUCGCCGACAAAGCAACUUUGACUAAAAGAAGAAACUACUUAUUAAGAGAGAGAUCAACUUAUUGGCCGAGAAAGAAGACUAUCGACAAGGAAUAAGACUCACUCCUACUACGCCAAAGGAGCCUUCUGCCCACGUAGCGGUAAGGAGCGCAAAAUCAGACUCUGUCUUCAGGCUAAAAAAGACUGCAGAAAGCCUAUCCAAGUUUCAGUGGAAAAAUCAGGGUCAGGACGUGUUGAUGAUGACGAAGAUUAUCCAAAAGACCUAAAAAGUACCAAUCUGACUCCUCCGUUCUAAUCUCAAAUUCUGAUCGCCAUUCUCUUCUUUCUUCUUUGCACCUUCGCAUAUUGAAUUGCGCCGGAGGACUGUGAAAAGUCAAGAAAAGAAAAAAGAAAAGAAUAAUUAACUCAUUAACGAUAAUGAAAGAAUCAUUAUGAAUCUGGUAGAUUGAAGAUUUCAGACAUCUUUGUGCUAGAUUUCAGAUUAAUCCGCGGAGGGAAAUACAUGAUUUUGCUAGGUUUUGCCCAUAGGGAAGUAGCAAGAAAUCAUGAAAAAUCAGUCAAAAUUGAUCUAUUUUCGUUAAAUAGAAAUCUUCGAUUUACUAUGAAAAAGAAGCAAAAAAGCCGGGAAAACGCAAUGAAAGAAUCAAGCCUAUAAAAGAAAUUCAAUGUGCAAACUUCUAGUUUGAGUUUCUGGUCCGGAUACUGACAGGUCUAUUCUUGAUUCCGCUCCUGAAUAUGGAUAGUCCUACUUCCUUCCAUAUGGAUGGUCCUACUUCGGUUAAUUACGGAUGGUCCUACGGAUAAAUCCUCCGGACUACUUCCCUCCAUAUGGAUGGUCCUACGGAUAAAUCACCUGGACCUUUCUUUGGCCCUGCGGACGUAGGACCCUGGACCUUUCUUUGAUGGACCCGAAAAGCAAAUUUCUUUAUUCCUUCCUCCGGUCAAUGAACUCAACUCAGAACUCAGAGCGGAAUCAUAAAAUGAGAUUGACUCUCUAUCUCUUUCGGGAAGAAGUACGUAGUUAACCGUUUAGGAUUGGGCCCCCAGUAAGAAAGAAUGAUAAGUCGGGUCUAUCAGUCUGAGAAUUUCAUAAUUCCUAAAGUGGGGCGCAGUUGAAUGAGAAAGAAUGAAAUGCCAAUCUCGCCUCAUUGUACUACGAACCCUUCCCACGAUUUGAUCUUAGAGUCGACUCCUUUUGUCCUACCGCGCCUUAGCUUCGGAUCGCAUGCUAUGCUAUCAGCCACGGUAUUUUAGAGUCCUUGUUCUCCUUUGGCGAUCAGGUAAGACCGAAUGGGGACGGUCAACUUCUCACUUUUCCAGUAUUCCUUGCUCGGUUGACUGGAAGAAGAAAACGGGGAUGCCCUAUAGACCUCUCUGACCUUUCGUAGCCAUAUGAACUGGGUGCUGCGAAGCGCAAGAGCGUAUCGAGAGAGGAUAUUUAGAGAAUUCCCAUGCUAUUCUUUCUUCUUCCUUUACUGCAAGCUAGUGACUGAGUCCAAAGCGGAGAGAUAAAGGACAUCCGCCACCUCGCUCGAUAGAAGAUAGAAAUUCAGUUAUCUGAAUCCAGCAGGCUUGGGAUUUGAUCCACUCGAUAUAGGGAACUCGCUCAGAAAAAUCCUUAGGAGCAUAAUCAGAAUUUCCAGUAGCGAAGUAGGAGAUGGUAGGCAUCAUGUCCAAAGAUCCGCGGUUAGUGAUCCUCACUCUGCAGGAUGCGAUCAGCAAACCGAUAAGAGGUACUAAAUCCGACUCUAUUUGGCAAGGGUUCGAGCCCAGCUCGUGACAAGGCCUUCGGUCGAGCUGUCCAUUUCAAAGACUGAUGAUAUGUAGAAGACCCCAGAUCAGUCUCCCUGGAUUGAAGGUUGCCUUGAGGACAUGGAACUCUGUCGCUGAGUGGACUCACUUGAAGUAAAAGGGUAAACUUGCCCCUUUCUCUAAGAAAGAUAGUAUGCUCUUAUUGAUGCAAAGGAUGGGGAGAGAUUCUUUCAAACCGAGAGUUUGGACACAAAAGAGGUUUUUUCAACUAUUCAUUGAAAGGAAAGGGGGAGCCGCUAAUUAGAACUCGAGGGUCAACUCCUGAGGGCAACUAAGCAGCGAGACCAGUCCUCCGGUCUCUCAAUUCACUGCUCUUAACUAUUCCUUGCUCCUCGGGUCAAGAUGCGCCAUAAGACAGGUCCUCCGGACUGCGACUGAGGCGCAAUGAAAUAUGCGAGGAGAAAAGAUGGAAUUUUCUUGCUUAAGCACCUAGCAUCUCAUCACAAUACAAGCUAAAACCACUGAUGAGUCAUAGCUUUACGAGAUAGCAGUCUAUAAAGAGAAUAAGAAGAGAAUAAGAUCUUAUUCCGCUUUCUAGACUCCUUUCAUCUUCUCCCAGGCAAACUGAGCUCACUAGCUUGAUGCCCAGCUCUUGCUUUUUCGAAUUCUAUGAAAUCCCUCAAAAUAGUACUUAUGACUGAGUUGGGACAAUAACCUAUGGGAAGGAUUGAUUUGAGGAUGAGGCAUUAGCAUACUGACUCGCCUUCUUCCUUCUUAGUCCAAUCUCGAAUGGAACUUUGUUUGAGGACUCCUAGAUAGGAAAUGAAUCAAAUAAGUAAGCUCUUCUUUCAUUUCUUUGGGUUACUGGCGCACAAUAUCCCUUUCUUAUGGAGCCUUGUUCCUCUCCUUUCAGUCUCGCCCUUGAUUUUAGCAAGAAAUCCAAGAAAUCUAAGCUGGUGUAUUGAUUUUUUUUGGAAGAAAAUAAAUCUAGUGUGUGCGAGCUUCAAUCUUUUCUUUUUCUUUUUUUCAAAUUCAAAUUCCAUUUUUUUCUCAAAAAGCCGCUCCACGGUGGUAAAGUCUCAUCUUGUGUCUUGGCCGAAGUGACAAUAGUCACAUGGAACCCUAGAGUAUUAGAGAAGAUCUCAAAAUGAUCUGCCAGUUCCGGGAAGAAUUCGAAAAACUCCGUUUCCAUCGGGAAUUGAAUGGAGUUUUUCCGUAUUUCGCCCGGAGAAUUUAAGAAAGACAGUACUAUUCCUAUAAUUAUUUUGAAAAAAAAAUGAAACAUUGAAUGCCCUCGGAGAGUGCUUUCUCGUGCUAGGUCACUGACAUAUCCUUUGUCUUUAUUUGACUCCAAGAAUGGAUUGGAUCGAAAGGACUUUCCUGUCGAACCCCUUGUCUGUAUCAAUUUCUGACCGCGCAGAAUCUCCAUAGCCAAUUUUCCAUUUUUGCUUCUGAAAUCAUAGGGUUCCUUUGGCACGACUCUUAUUUCAGACGAUCCAGGAACUUCCAUAACGUUGGUGUAAUUCAGUUUGAGCAACGGCUCCUGACGUGAUAUAUCUUCGUAAUGAAACUGGAGUUGUAGGCUCGGACCCAUUCCUAAGGGAAAAGAGGGCCCCAAGCUUAUAUACCCCCGGACAGGGAGGUCUAGAAUUCCACAGCGAUGAAUGACCCCAGAUAAGGCCAGUUCUGGGAGACAGAUAAGGGGAUUGAGUACAGAGAUGCAAUGAAACCGGGUGUGAAUCGGGUACUCGCCUUAAUUAUGAGAGGCUGAACAAUCCUCUUGCCCAAAUUGACCAGAAUGAAUGCAUCUUGCUUUCUCUGGACAGGGCUCAAGAGUGAACAGUGGAAAAAAAAGACUGGUGGAGAAGUGGCUAUUAAAAGGUUUGAGAGGGCCAAUGGAAUUGAUGCGAAAUCCUUUUUCCUAUAGUCAAUGCCCACGGAGCGGGUUAGUGGAAUUAAGAGGUCCGACUAGAAACUGAAAGGAGUCAAUAAACAAGGUUCAAAGAAUAUUGACAGAUCCAUUGAGGCGGAUGAAUGAAGAAAAAAAGGACGAAAAAGAAAGGUCCAGGCGCAAAGAAUUUGCGAAGAACUGUUGUUGAGCUAUUCUAAAAUAGUCCUUCGCCUAAGAGCGCAAACCAAAGGCAAAGGCUCCAUAAGACAGGGAUAUUGUAAGGCGGUCGAUGACCAAAGUCAAAUUAUCUAAUGGAUAGGCCUUCUGACAGGCAAUAUUCUUUGCGCCUUGCACUCCUCAGCAAUAUUCUUUGCGCCUCCGAAUUUCAUGCGCCUCAACUCAUAUUACAUUGAGCCUCUCACGCAAACCCGCAAUAUUCCGCAUUGAUCCUUCGCACCUUUCAGUCGUCCGGAGGCUCUUUGAAUUUGAUAUUGCGGAAAAGAAUAUUGAAGCAAGGCGCAAUAUUGCGACUGCCGGAGGACCAGUCUCGGCGAAUAGGUUUCAUUCUCGAAAGAAUUAUCGAAGCGACUGAGUUCUAUUCUAAUGGGGAUCGUUGGGGAAUCCAUAUAUAAAGAGUAGUCUAUAUAUUCUUUGCGCUCAUUGAUAAGGGCAAAUUUCAUUGAUCAGUUCUUCCCGUGUAGUGGGCUGACUUUUUUGAAGUGGAAGGCAAUAUUCGAUAAUUAGGUUUCAGGCAAUAUCAAUAUUCUGCUUUCACGCAAUAUUCUUUGCACCUAACUAUUCCUUGCUCCUCCGGAGGGGUCCAGAUGCGCGAAGCGAAGCGCAUUUAUCUAAGAAAAGAAGAAAGGGUCCAAGAAUAUAUAGAGUUUACAAAUUAGGAGAAAGAAAGGCGCAAAGAAAGAAGCUCAUUAACGAGAAUGAAAGAAGAAUUAUGAUUUCAGACAUCUUUGUGCUAGAUUUCAGAAUAGACCUGUAUUUCUCCGGACCAGAAACUCAAACUAGAACUGAGAAAUGUGAAUUGACUGUCCUAGGACAAUGAAUGAAUUGCUAUUUCCCGGCUUUUUUGCUUCUAAAUAGGACUAAAUCAAAGAUUUCUAUUUAACGAUAAUUGAGUGAAAAAGAAGGCAUUUUCAUGAUUUCUUGCUACUUUAUAGGCCCAAAACCUAGGAAUUCACUCCGUCUUCAAUCUAGCAGAUUCAUAAUUCUUCUUGAAUUCGAGUUAUGAAAUCCUAAUUAUUCUUUCAUUCUCGUUAAUGAGUUAAUUAUUCUUUUCUUUUUUUCUUGACUUUUCUUUGUGCCAGUCCGAAGGACGGAUAAGUUCUUUCUUUUGUUGAAGCAGAAGUAGGGCUGCAGAGGAAGAAAUGUUCUAAGUCUCGGAAAAAGUAGAAGUAGGCAGACUGGUAUCAUACAACCGAGUUGGAUCGGGCCCUUCCUGCUAUCCACUGAAAUCGGCAGGCAGUACUCAAGAUUCAUUCUCCCUUUCACUCUUUGAUUAGUCUCUUUUUUCUUAAAGGUAACUGAGAUCGGCAGAAGAAGAAGGAGUGUGAAAUUCUUCUUCUUGUUAGAAAAGAAAGCACCAUCUCCGGAUAGAACCUUCUUUUUCUAGGGCCUUUCCUACGAUCCCCAGCCCAGAGAAUGAAAUCUUCUCUUUUUAUGUAUAAAUAAAAGAGAGCUGCUAAGAAGUUCGCUCUUCCAUUGGUCCCUAUCUUUUCUUAUGUGCGUCGGACUCUCUCUUUCUUCCUUGAAGCCCUUGUUCAUUGACUUAUUCCUUUUUUUCUUCAUUCAUCCGCUACUUUCAUCCGUCCGAAGGACUAUUCGCUAUUCUAAAUAGGUUCUCCGGAACUCAGUAAGAAAGCAAUGUUCAUUGUGGUGUAUGGAAUUGUGGUAGUAGUCUAAUCAGCAGCUCAAUAUUCUUCUUGACUUGAAGAACUAUAACAUAAUGCUUACUACUAGUAAGGAAAGAGGCUUGAAGAGGAAUCUUAUCAAGUUGUGAUUCUAGUCACUCUCUCUCAAGCGGACAGACCGCAUAGAAGAUCAAUUACACAAGAUGCAAUUAGGCCCUUUGUUCAUUGAGGCGGUUUUCACUUCUCUUUCGGUCUAGUAGUAUUGUAAUAGCCAGGGAGCAGCACAAGGAUGCAGCAAGACAUUUCCACCUUGCUGUACUGAAUGAGAAUGCCUCCCGAUAUAAUGCUGUUAAACUAAUUAUAUCGGACAGUGUGAGAUUGAGCUUGGUCCACCCUUUGUACGUAUGUGACAAAGCAAGACAAAAGACCUUAUGUGAAAGAGAUCCCUCCAACAGAUACUCUGGGAGGCCAGUGCGGCUUUCAAGCACAAGAAGGUCGAAAGGCUGGCAAGCGAGCAGGAGCGGGUGGAUAUCCUCUUCCAGAGACUUUACGAAUACGAUGAUUGGAUGGAGCUAGAAGAGGAUCCCGAUUUCAGAAAGGCCCUCUGGUCGAGGUACAAUACUGUAAGGAAGCUAUGGGAGGAUGCCCAGCAGAGAAAGCAAGGAUUGAGAUCCACCACGGAGAGCAUCGUAGCCUAUCUCUGGGAUAGGGGCUGGCCGGAGGAGUAUAAGGCCGAGGAAUUCAAAGAUCAAUCUCUUUUCUUUUAUUGGGUAGCCACCAACCACCUUGUGUACCAGAGGCACCUAAAAGGCAGGCAGAGUGGGUAUAGGCAUGAGAAGUCUUUUCUCUUGCUUCUUUCAUAUUAUGCUUGAGUAAGGCAUGGAUAUUCCUUAAUGGUCGAAACUAGUUCAGACAUCUUUAUCUCAUUUCUAUUCAAUGCUGAAGACGAGAAGGCUGCACGCGACGGACCCUAGGGAAAAUCUUGUCCUACUCUUUGAACUAGAAACUCACGCAAUAGACUAAACUAAAGGCUCGACUCUCGAAAGUGGCAUACCGGUGCCGCAAGCUUGGACACCGAAGUGGCAACAGACUCAUAUUCCCUAACCGAUUCCUCUCCUUCAUUGAGCCGCAAUAUUGCACCUCUGAUUCAUGACAUUUGGCCCUUGCCGUAGUCCGUAUGGUCCUCUUCCUCGGAAUAUUCUUUGCGCCUCUCCCCCGUCCUCCGGACUAUCCGUAUUAACCUAGCUUUCGCUCGUCUUGAGCCGUCCUCAGUCGCUUAAUAUGGAUUUCUCAAUUCUUCAAUCGCAUAUUUCAUUGCGCCUCUGCUCAAAUUCCCUAAUGGAUAGUCAUCUGGACCCCUUAUAAUUGGGCCAUAGAUCUUUGCGCCUCUCAUCAAAUCCCCUAAUGGAUAGUCCUUCGGACCUGUCUUAUGGUUAUGGGCUGGUAUCAAUAUUGCUCGAAUUCUUUAUAUAUUGAUUAGGAAAUCAGAAUUCGGACAAAAAAGUCAAAUCUCUCUCUCUCACAAACGGGGAUAAAUAAAGACAGUUGAAAGGCCUUAGGCAAUAAGGCAUUCAACGGCCGAUCUAUAAAAAGAGUCUUCAGUCUCGGAGCCAGCCAGCCGUUCAUUAGUUGGGUCGGUCACUGAGUGAGACCUAGACUUUUUUGACUAUCAUACUCAAAUGAGGCGACGAGUUCUUUCCAUUUAGGCAGUUCAAGAACGGAAAGAAGAUCCGCACCAAGAUCCGAAAGGGGUAAAGCUUCCCCCCAUUCAACCUAUCUUAGCUUUCGGCUAGUCCUGUCCUCCCCUAUUCCCUAUCCUUAUAUUAUCUGGGACUCCCUGUCUUAGAACCUAGCCCGCCACUAGGAGGUAUCGGAUCGAGUUUCAUAAAAAGCAGAAGCAAAACAAGGCGCAAUGCAAUUUGAGAAAGCAAAGAACUAAAAAGAAAGGUCCAGAUGCGUCACAGGUCCUCCGGACUGCGACUGAGGGUGAGACUGGUCCUCCGGACUUGUGAAUAAAGGGUUCAAAGAAGAUUGAAGAACAAAGGGUGCAAAGAAUAUUGCGAGCUCCAGAUGAGUUGAAUCGACCUCUAUCCCUUUCUUCGGAAGCCGCCGUUGGGACGUUCUUUCCCGCGGAAGAUGGUGCUUGACCGAGUGGGCUAAGCUUAUAGCAAGAAUAUCGUUCUCAAAAAUCUAAACGAGGUUGACUCCCGACUUGAUUUUCCCGGUUUGGAUUCAAACUUCCUUUUUGAACACGAGUAAGGUAUUCAGUUCCAUUCGAAUCAGUCGUCCUUCGGUUUUAAAGCAUUAUGUUCAGAAGGCUGAAUGAAAUUUGAGUUUAGUUUAGUCCCGCUUUUUUAGUGGAAUCUUUGCUAUUCAAAUCAGUUCGCAAUAUGCGCCUUAUUCAAUGACAUCGGUUUUUACCGCUCUUUGCGCCUUCGGACGGGAUAAAAGAAAGAGGUCCAGAGGACGUCCUGGAGGCUCCAUAAGACAGGGAUAUUGUGCGUAGGCUCAAUGAAAUUAGAGAGAAGAAGAUUUUCGGUUCAUCUUUAGCGCCUACAUCGCUCUUUGCACCUCACGCAAUGAUCUUUGCUCCUCCCACUCGUUCAGAAAGCCUAUGAAAUCAGGUCAAUCCGGAAGAGAGAGAGCUUCCGAAACAGCACCUAUUAAAAACCUAUAGCCUAGAAAGCAUCUGGGAGUCUUUCUUAUACACGAUUGAAAUGGAGCAGUACCCGAGGGUAGGCUUUCUCUUUCUGACUUUCUAGUUGAUAGGCUUGAUUUUAGUAGGUCUUUAGCCGAAAGAAAAGAGCUUUUCUCAGCCAAACAAAAGGGCAACCCGCAGGGCGAGCGGCUUGGCAACUCUUCCUACCGCUACGUGGGUUACGGAUUGGAUUAGUCCGAGUUCUCCUAGGCUUGAAUCUUAUGGCGUAGAAGGCUAGGCGGCUCCGCUCCGUGGGGCUUUCUGGAGGCAUCAAAAUCGAUCAAUGAAUGAGGCUUUCUUCGAUCAUUCUUUGAGCCUAAGUCUGCGAGAGGAAAAAGAAGGCGCAAAGACAGGUCCUCCGUUUUAGAGUCCUUCGGUUAAUUACGGAUAGUCCUACUUCCAUAUGGAUAGUCCUACGGACUCCGGACGGAUAAAUAGAGGAUCAAGUGCUUUAACCGCUACGCUGGAGCUACGGAGAAAGAAAGGCUCCAUAAGACAGGUCCGAAGGACUAUUAGGGAAUUUUGAUGAGAGAAAGAAGGCAAUAUUCUUUUCUUUGCGCCUGGACCUUUCUUUCAAAAGACUCCAAAUAACCUACGGCAAGGAAGAAGACGGAGAAGGAGGGCCACCAAAGACUCCAACGUCUGCGCCCCAUUAAAGACUUGAGAGAAUACGAAGGUGAGACUUCCUAUGAAAGAAGCUACCUGCCACUUUUCAUACUCAGUCUUAUCAAUAUUCUUUGAACCUCCGCUUCCUCUUUCUCGCAUAUUCACACCUCUCCCUAUCUGGAGUAGGUCUUUGCCGAGAAGUCAUAUAUUAUUUACGGGAUCUCAAGUCCGUAUAAGAAGAUCGCCCGAUAGGAGCAAAGAAUAUUGCCUUCCACUAAAUGCUAAAUCGGAUACUGUCUCCGAAGAUGAAUAACUAGGCUUUUUCGAUUCACCAGGCGCGGAAGCUGAAUUAAGAAGAUAGGAAGUUUAGGCGCGGAUGGUCCUGUCUCCCGAUCGGAUGCUGUCCCUUCUAAAGAAAAAGAUACCCGAAGCUUUUGGUCUUCGUAGAUAGCACCUGACAGAGUUUAGUCAAUUAUCACGGAUGAUCUAAGAGAAGAAGAAAGAGAGAAGAGCUAGUUUCAUUACAACCUUCUUCAACUGCGGAGUCAACCCUAAAAGUGGAUCUGGCAUCAAGCCUAUCCCUUUUUCCGGGAUCAAGUACUACUUCUAGAAAGAUCAAGCCUUUACUAUUAUGAUGUCAAUCUGGUAUCGGAAGAUAGAUCUGAGGCUUCUCCUUCAUUCACUCAUUCAACGGAGAAAGGGAAUAAGUCAAGACCUGACUCAGCUGCAAGGACGACGGAUUCCGAUCUGUCCGAAGGACUAUUCGCUAUUCUAAUACUCCCCGAUCCUACUUUUUCUUAAUAGUUCAUGCGAAAGAGAUUUCGAGUUCUUACUCGGCUGUAGGGAAAGUCUUCCCCGCUACGUGGGCUUUCUCUUAAAGCUCUUCUCGUCUUUUGAUCUCGUGAUUCAAUUUCUGAAUCCAUAGCAAGGAUUUCUCAUAGGACGAAAUCGGGGUAAGAUCUCUUGCUACAGAAAGGGUUCCGACUUCUCCAACUUCUCUGCCCGAUGGUAGGGGGCAGGGGUCUCACGCGCGUGAGGCUUCAGUUCAGUACUGAAUUUCUCAACCUUCCUUGAUAAGUCAAUGAACAAAGGCUGCGGAGGAAGAGGGGACGAGUCAGAUCGGUCUCUUUCUCUUGUUAACGAGAAUUUCGAUUCCUUGCUCACAUAUUAAGCUGCGUAGGAGGCGCAAAGAAUAUUGCUCAGAAAGAAUUAGCUGCCGUGAGUUGCGUGAGAAGACUUGUAAUAGAGUGUCCAGCUGACUAUCCAUUAGAACUUUGCGCCUUCGAUCGAAGAGUCUUUUUUUUGAUGUCCCCAUUUAUUUUGGCGAUCUACAUCGCCUGGUUCGAGGACCCAAGCGGACUUUCUCGCCCAAUGGAAUCGGACCGGCUUCAGUCUACGAAUUCCCUAUGAAAAGCAUAUCUUAACCGGCGCCUCUUAUUUUCCAAUUUUUGUCUAAUGCUCGGUCUUGAAUUAUUAUCAAUAUCAAAAUCUCCGCGGUGAGCAUAAGCAUAAGAAAAAGAGAAGUCCGUGGGAAAGGCAGAGGAUCAAAGUCUCGACCCCUACGUGGGAGAAAGACGAGGCGCCGUGAACUAGGGCAAGGGAUAUUAGGGGAAUCUGAAUUUGCAGAAAGAAAGAUUUCAGACUCCUAAGUCAAUCUUUCUUGACUUGCACUCAUUCAUGAAAGGCAUAUUGAAUUGCGCCGGAGUCCGGAGGACCAUCAAAGAAAGGUCCAGGGGCCGCAGUCCGGAGUCCGCAGGAUUUAUCCGUAGUCCGGAGG
This 58355-nucleotide long non-coding RNA is filed under the name Cucumis sativus (cucumber). RNAcentral describes it as "long non-coding RNA (CSAT_LNC000005)". Lineage: Eukaryota; Viridiplantae; Streptophyta; Magnoliopsida; Cucurbitales; Cucurbitaceae. The record is from RNAcentral.